This 87574-nucleotide long non-coding RNA is filed under the name Amborella trichopoda. RNAcentral describes it as "long non-coding RNA (ATRI_LNC004363)". The record is from RNAcentral. Lineage: Eukaryota; Viridiplantae; Streptophyta; Magnoliopsida; Amborellales; Amborellaceae.
CACGUUGUAGCCCACGUGUAUUGUCCACCACACGUACUAUAGAAAGCGACAACUCCCAAAUCCAUACCUUGAACUCACGCGAAACAACCUAUGUAAACGAAAGAAGAGGAGAGAGCCUGCAAAUUUGAAAGCUUCACCUGGUUCUUUCAUGGCUUCCUUGCUAAAAGCUCCCUCUCCUCUCCACAAUGCGUCACCUCUCUCUCUCCCACGUACCACCAUCUCCACCACCUUCCAGCCUCUCCUCCCACCGAGAUCGAAGCUCCGGCCGUGGCCUCUCGCCCUAAAGAGCAGUAAAACCGAAUCAUUUCUAACCUAUCUGCACGAACAGUUCGAGGACCUGCAGGAAGUGUUCGUAGGAAAAGUGAAGGAGGAAGAACCAGAGAAACAUCAGGGUCCCCUGUUGGAAAGGUGGCGCGAGAUACAGGGGGAGAACAAAUGGAAAGGUUUGCUUGAGCCCAUGGACCCAUUACUGCGUCGAGAGAUCAUACGUUAUGGGGAAUUCGCGCAGGCGUGCUACGACUCCUUCAACUUCAGCACCUACUCCAGAUACUGUGGAACUUGCAAUUACCCGAUGAGCAGCUUCUUCCGAGCUCUGGGCAUGGAUGACCUCGGCUACGAGGUGAGCCGCUACUUGUACGCGACUUCAGCCUCUAACCUGCGCAAAUUCUUCAGGAAAUCGUUGCACGCACAGGUGUGGAGCCAGCACGCGAACUGGAUCGGGUAUGUGUCGGUGGCCACCGACCCCAAGGUGGUGAAGGAGCUCGGGCGGCGGGACAUCCUGUUCGCCUGGCGCGGCACCGUGACGUACCUGGAGUGGGUGGAGGACGUGAUGGACUACCAGGUCAAGCCCAACUUUGGCCCGGACGCCAACGUGAAGGUGGAGUCAGGGUUCUUAGAUUUGUACAACUCGAAGGAGACCGCCUGCGGGUUUUGCUCCUACUCAGCCCGUGAGCAGGUAUAUGAUCUACGAAAACGUUAUUAUAGUUGGUAUAACGGUAAUGAAUCGCGGUGUUAUGUCACGGUAAUAGUGGUGUGAAAAAACUUUUGAUAGUCGGAAAUUUUGGUUAAUAACGGCCGUUUUUAGUUUUCUCAAUAUGAUCUCUAAGGAAAACAAUUGGAGGAGUGCGUUGUUUUCUAUGACCAUGUAGGCCGGUCUAGAGUGUACCGUCACUCGGCCGAGUCACUCCACUCAGAGGGGAGACCCAAUUUCUCCGAGGUGCUUGUUAAACUUGGGGAUAUUAUAAAAUUUAUAAAAAUUUAGAAAAAUAAUAAAAUAAUGAGAUUGAUUUAUAUUUUUUUUGUGUAUGAUUCAUACGGUUUCAGCAAUUAUUUGUGGGUGUUUUUUUUUCCUUUUUCGCAAUAAAUCCCAAUUUUUAUUUGACCUUUUUUGGAUUUCUAAAUCUAUUUUUUAAAAUACUUUGUAAGCCUAUUUGGGCCCUUAAAAGUUUUUUGUUUUAUGUUGUUUUUAAUAUAAUUUUUUUUGUUAGAAAAAGAUCUUUGUUAAUUUUUUUUGUUAACUCUGCCAUGUUAGGCCAUGGGGAAUACCUUGUUUGAGUUGAUUUUAUUUUCAGUAGUAUUCUUCUUAUUUUGGUUAUGGCUUUCGAAACCUUGAGCAGGUGAUCUCUGAGACGCGCCGCCUAAUGGAGCGAUACAAGGAUGAAGGAAAUGAACUGAGCAUCACCAUCACCGGCCACAGCCUCGGAGGCGCGCUCGCAUUGCUCAGCGCAUACGACAUUGCCGAGACCGGUCUGAAUGUCCUCCCUGAUGGCCGGCGUGUGCCGAUCACUGUAUUUACAUUUGGCAGCCCCCGGGUCGGCAACCGGCGGUUCGCAGAUCGGUGUGAUGAGCUUGGCAUACACGUCCUGCGUGUGUUUAACAAACAUGACAAAGUGCCCACGGUACACAAAGAAUGUCCAUUACACACUUGUUCAAAUUCACUGUGGAAAUGCUCUCUACUACUCUCAUAAACUCACUCUCUCACACACAAAACAAAGAAGAAAAAUAGUAAAUAGGAUGAGUGUGCACUCGGACCCUUCAAUCGUUCAUAUUCGAUCUUGGCUGUGCACCCUUCAAUGGUUCAUAUAUUGGACAGGCUUAUCCAAAGGCACACAUUUUGUUUUCUUUUUUGAUGUUUUUUUUUUAAUACUAGUUGAGAAUUCGUAUGAAAUUUGCUUUCAUGUAUCUUUCUAAGGUAAAUACAAUAAAAAUAAUAAUUCAAUAAAAAUAACCAAAUACCCAGGUAUUUUGGUCAUUUUUUAUUUCAUUUAUUUGUUUUUUAUGAAAUUUAAAUGAAAAUCAUGUUUUUAUGUUUAGAAUUUAAAAAUAAUCUCAUAUAUUUUGUAUUUUACAUUUACAACCCACUGUUUAUAGUGGUAUUGUAUUUUAACUUUGGGUUUUGUUAGGAUACACCACUUGGUAGUGUACAUCUUUAAAGUGCUCCAACAUUUUUUGACACUAAAAUACCUGUAAUACAAUAUUUUUCAAGUAGACGCAUUUUUUAGUCAUUUAAAAAGGUAGGAUGGAUAUUUUUAUAAAAAAAUAAUACCAUUCUAUUAGUAGUUAAAAACAAUUAAUACAGCUUGUAAGUGAAUUCAUACACUAUCGGUAAUGCCAUUGCCUACUAUUGUUAAUAAAUACUUUUAUUUCUAUUAGGAUUUCAGGUCAGCCCUUACUUAAAAUACACCUUGAAAAAGAAUCUCCAUUUUCUAGGCCAAGUUUUCGGUGUUCAAGAAGUUAAGAUCCAAACUUUUUCUUAGAAAUACUCACCUAGUAAUACUUAUAUGAAUCCCAAAAAAAAAUUUUAAAAAGAAGAAUUGUUGAUUCCGCAUGAGCAUAUACUAUGUAUUUGCUCCCUCGAGUAAAACUCAUAUUGUCAAUAUUUUGUGGACCCCAAAUUUUGGGGAUGUAACUUCUAGAACUUAAUAAACAACUUUUUCCCAAAAAAAAAGUAAAAGAAAAAAGACUCUCUAUAGGCUUUUAAAUUAAGGUCCCAAUAAUAAGAACUUGGCCAAGAUUUAGGUGUUAAAAAAAUUAAAAUCCUAAUUUGUUUUUCCGGAAAUAAUCGUCUAGUGAUACUCACAUGGACCCGGAUAAAAAAAACUUCUAAAUCACUCUUUUAUCCUAGGUACUUACCCCCACAGUACGCUCCAAUAGGAGAAGUAAAUAGGGCAAGUCAACCUUACCUGACAAGGUCCAACAAUCGACACCAACUUGAUUGGAUAUGUUGGGUCUAAGUGAUCGAAAUCGAGUUAGAAUCAAAAUUGAAAAAUUAAAUUUAUCAUAAUUUAUUUUAUAUUGUUUAUAAUAUAUAAGAUAAUUGUUAUUAUGGGAUACACUGCAAUCGAUCCCAACCCGGUUGGGUCUGGGCUGGAUCCGACCUAUCCAACCAGACAAUUGAGUCCACACUUCUAAAUCGGAUGAUCUAGGAAAACGGUAAUGUAUUAAGAUCUGGCCCGAAUCUACCCAACCUAAUUUCCAAGCCUAUUUUAUGAUUUGCUUAAAAUUAUUUUCAUAUGAAAAAAUUCUCUCACACGGUCAAGUGUGUAAAUAGUUUUACAUCAAUUAGUUGUUAAUUGGUGUGGAAUGAUAUACUAUGAUCUAUUGGUAGGAAAAUAUUCAUAUACAUGACUGUAUGAGAAAUUUUUUUCAUGUGAAUAUAUUUUUAAGAAAAUAUCUUCUUGUUAACAUAACGUGGCAUUAAGGAAUUUCCAAAUGGAAAAAAUGAGGGACAGAUCACUCAUGAUUAGCAAGCUGUUUUUACAAAUAGGAAAAAUGAGGGACGAUUACUCAUGAUCAGAUACAGGACCAAAGAUGUACGAGUCUGUUAAUUAGUAGAUAGUGGAAAAUUAGUCUUACUGGUGAUAAAUGGCUCAUUCAAAGUGGGUUUUAUUCUUCUCUGUAAGUGCAUUCCAUUGCCACGGUUCAUAUCAGGUACCAGGCAUGAUCAUCAACGAGGAUGUUGCCGUGCCUGACAUUGUGGCGGACAUCAUGCCGUGGAGCUACUCACACGUGGGGGUAGAGCUGGAACUCGACCACAAUGUAUCCCCGGUUGUAGAAGCCGGGCUCGCCAUCCCGGCGCGGCACAACUUGGAGCUCUACCUCCACUUGGUGAAUGCAUAUAAUGGGCCGAAAGGUGGCUUCAAACCAGCUUACAAGAGAGACCCGGCGUUGCUCAACAAGAGCGACACCAUUCUGAAAGAGAAAUUUCAUAUGCCGCCGUGCUGGCGUCAGGAUGAGAACAAGGGCCUGGUGCGGGCGCAAGACGGACGGUGGGUGGUGCCCGAGAGGACAAGCAUCGAUGCACACCCUCCUGACACCGACCACCACUUGGAGCAGGCACUCAAAAUUGCACCUGGUUCCUCUGCUACCACCUCUGCAUCUUCUUGAGACUGCUUGCCUCCUUGUCAUCUGCGUACAAAUCGAUCCACUUACUGUGCUUCUCGAACUGCUCAAUCUUCUGCAGCACCCGUGGAUUAAAUUCCUGUAGCUUUGCAUUUCUACAGUAUGGUUUGUUAAUGACACUAAGCGUUAAUAGUAAAUAAAGUGAGGAAUAAAUGGGGUUUUCUCCCCAAACAUUAGUGUUUUUUUUUUUGGAUCGAAAUGAGGAGGGAUUUCAUGAAGGAAAAAUUUUAUAUAGAGCUGAGGUUCUAAACAAUCAAAUUAGAACCCACUCCAAAAAUUUCACUAGAAGAGGUUGUUUUGAUGUCUAAAUAUCUUCAAAUUGAUCAUCUCACAAUCAAGAUGCAUGGACAUGAGAAAAAAAUAUUUCAAGUUUUGGAAAUAAUUUAUCUUGUAAGGUAUGUUUUGGACCAUCCAUUUUCAAGUUUUCAAAUAUUUGUUAGAUCUAUAUUUGAAAGUGUGUUUUACUUUGAUUGUUUAGAACCUUGGCUCUAUACAAACCGCACCCUUACAUGAAAUUUAGGAUGGAAAACAGAUCCAACUUUUUGUAGCUCUAGCUGUUGGAUGAAAUGAAAUAAAUGGUACAAAAUAAUUAAUAAAUAAUAUUUUUUAAUCGAAGAUUCAUGAUUGCCAUGGGCAAUAUUAUCGACCUCUCAAAUUUUGGAUCUGAGAUGGAUUUUGGAGAGGGGACGCAUAUAAACAGGUACAUUGUCUGACCCACCAAAACCCUACCUAUAAAAUAAAUAGGGGAAAUUUUAAUAUACUGUUAUGGUUAAAUGCGGUCCACUUGAAAAAUGGAGAUAAAUCUAGGAUCUCAAACCUAUCAAUUAUUUGCCCAAGAAAAACAUAUCUGACUACACCUUCGAAGUAUUUCUCCUCUAGAGCCAUGAUGGUGUGAGUUUAAAAUAGAGAAAAUUGCGUCCCUUCCCCUUUAAUUAACUUUUAUUACUAAAUUCCCCCUCUUUUUACGUUAUUUAAAAAUAUACCCGUUUUUAUUCUGCUUUUUUAAAAAGGGAAUGGUUUUUAUGAGUCAAUGAGUCAGACUCUUAAAAAUCUAUUUUUGAGCUGGAUUUUCGGACCUAACUUUUAAGGACAUGUAAUCUCUAAUAUGGAGAUCAUAAAUAUAAAAAAUUAAAAAUAAAAAUAAAUAAUUAAAAUUAAUAAAUAAAACUAAUUAUUAUAUGAAGAAAUAUUUGGGCCGUUAGUUUCAAUUGUUAUUAGAUAGACCACCUAUUUGCUUCCAUCAUUAAGAUAGAUGCUUUAUACCUUGAGACCGCAUAUUGUAGAAAUGCAAUCCAGCCCGCGUGAAACAAUUUCCUUUUGUAAAUAACCCAAAUGCCUGUACUUCGGAUUUUGAAAAAUAAAAGUCUACCAAUGAAAUUUUUACAAUUUUGGGAUUGCAAGGAUUUCAAACCACGAAACUUUUAUUACUGUCAAUUUGAUUCAACAAUUUUGGGGUCCGAAACCCUAAAAUUUAUUGGGGCAAAACCGUAUAAUAACAUCAGGGUUUCAAACCCCGAAUUCAUUAAUGUUGCCAAAUGGAUUCCAAGUAACAAUUUUGGUAUUCGAAUUUGUUGGUGCAAAACCUAAUAACAUCUUCCGGGGAAUAUAUUGUUGGAUAUGGUGAAUCCAAAAUCACUCAAAUAAGGAAAUCUAAUAGUACGUGGGAUUGAGAUCGAUACUAAUAAGUUUUCUAAAAAAAAUAUAAAUCUAAAAAGAUUAAGAUAUAUAAGAAAUUUCUUACUUAGUGUGGAUUCUUAAGAUAUAUNNNNNNNNNNNNNNNNNNNNNNNNNNNNNNNNNNNNNNNNNNNNNNNNNNNNNNNNNNNNNNNNNNNNNNNNNNNNNNNNNNNNNNNNNNNNNNNNNNNNNNNNNNNNNNNNNNNNNNNNNNNNNNNNNNNNNNNNNNNNNNNNNNNNNNNNNNNNNNNNNNNNNNNNNNNNNNNNNNNNNNNNNNNNNNNNNNNNNNNNNNNNNNNNNNNNNNNNNNNNNNNNNNNNNNNNNNNNNNNNNNNNNNNNNNNNNNNNNNNNNNNNNNNNNNNNNNNNNNNNNNNNNNNNNNNNNNNNNNNNNNNNNNNNNNNNNNNNNNNNNNNNNNNNNNNNNNNNNNNNNNNNNNNNNNNNNNNNNNNNNNNNNNNNNNNNNNNNNNNNNNNNNNNNNNNNNNNNNNNNNNNNNNNNNNNNNNNNNNNNNNNNNNNNNNNNNNNNNNNNNNNNNNNNNNNNNNNNNNNNNNNNNNNNNNNNNNNNNNNNNNNNNNNNNNNNNNNNNNNNNNNNNNNNNNNNNNNNNNNNNNNNNNNNNNNNNNNNNNNNNNNNNNNNNNNNNNNNNNNNNNNNNNNNNNNNNNNNNNNNNNNNNNNNNNNNNNNNNNNNNNNNNNNNNNNNNNNNNNNNNNNNNNNNNNNNNNNNNNNNNNNNNNNNNNNNNNNNNNNNNNNNNNNNNNNNNNNNNNNNNNNNNNNNNNNNNNNNNNNNNNNNNNNNNNNNNNNNNNNNNNNNNNNNNNNNNNNNNNNNNNNNNNNNNNNNNNNNNNNNNNNNNNNNNNNNNNNNNNNNNNNNNNNNNNNNNNNNNNNNNNNNNNNNNNNNNNNNNNNNNNNNNNNNNNNNNNNNNNNNNNNNNNNNNNNNNNNNNNNNNNNNNNNNNNNNNNNNNNNNNNNNNNNNNNNNNNNNNNNNNNNNNNNNNNNNNNNNNNNNNNNNNNNNNNNNNNNNNNNNNNNNNNNNNNNNNNNNNNNNNNNNNNNNNNNNNNNNNNNNNNNNNNNNNNNNNNNNNNNNNNNNNNNNNNNNNNNNNNNNNNNNNNNNNNNNNNNNNNNNNNNNNNNNNNNNNNNNNNNNNNNNNNNNNNNNNNNNNNNNNNNNNNNNNNNNNNNNNNNNNNNNNNNNNNNNNNNNNNNNNNNNNNNNNNNNNNNNNNNNNNNNNNNNNNNNNNNNNNNNNNNNNNNNNNNNNNNNNNNNNNNNNNNNNNNNNNNNNNNNNNNNNNNNNNNNNNNNNNNNNNNNNNNNNNNNNNNNNNNNNNNNNNNNNNNNNNNNNNNNNNNNNNNNNNNNNNNNNNNNNNNNNNNNNNNNNNNNNNNNNNNNNNNNNNNNNNNNNNNNNNNNNNNNNNNNNNNNNNNNNNNNNNNNNNNNNNNNNNNNNNNNNNNNNNNNNNNNNNNNNNNNNNNNNNNNNNNNNNNNNNNNNNNNNNNNNNNNNNNNNNNNNNNNNNNNNNNNNNNNNNNNNNNNNNNNNNNNNNNNNNNNNNNNNNNNNNNNNNNNNNNNNNNUAUAUAUAUAUAUAUAUAUAUAUAUAUAUAUAUAAAAUAUGGAUUAGAUAUCCAAUUCCUAAUGAAAAAGAUUUAUUAGAUAGACUUGUAAAUGCUUGUAUUUUUUCAAAAUUUGACCUUAAAUUUGGAUACUGGCAAAUACAAAUAAAUGAAAACGAUUGCUAUAAAACAACAUUUAAUGUUCCAUUUGGCCAGUAUGAAUGGAAUGUAAUGCCAUUCGGCUUAAAAAAUGCACUAUCUGAAUUCCAGAAAAUUAUGAAUGAUGUUUUUAACCCUUAUAUGACAUCUAUGAUAGUUUACAUUGAUGAUGUUCUUAUUUUUUCAACUGAUAUACAUCAACAUUUUAAACAUUUACAUAUAUUUCUCAAUACUGUUAAAAAUGUAGGACUUGUAGUUUCUGCAAAGAAAAUGGUUCUUUGUCAAACUAAAAUUAGAUUCUCAGGCCAUAAUAUCUUCCAAGGCCCAAUUAUUCCCAUAGAUAGAGCUAUUGAGUUUCUAAUGGCUUUGAUACCAAACAGACUCCAAGAUCUUAUUUUGUCUCAAAUUCUUAAAUUCUAAAGUUAUCUCAGUAACAUAGAGAGCAUAAUGCUAUAAUUUAAUAAUGAUCUAAGAAGAGAAGUGUAGUAUAGAAAGAUAAAUAAAAUAAUAAUGAAUGAAAUAACAGAGAUAUCUAAUAUUAUCCACGUGGUAUAAUUAUUAUUUAGUAUCUUAACGCUAACUAUUAUUUUAAACUGCAUAAUAUGAACAAUCUUUAUUGAUACAGAUUCAAACAAAGUACAUAUUGAUAUAAAGUACAAACAGAGUGAAACUGAAUACAGACGGUAUACAACUUACAAUUUACAAAAGAAGAAACUUGAAAAGUGUUGCCAUUCGUACGGACAGAACGAUGAUAAUUUAUGUAUAUUAUAGUCACACAUUACUGCAAAAUAAAAUAAAAGGUAAUGAAAAGAUCUUACUUGAAAAAGGCUUGCCUGAAGGUUUCGCAGAAGUCAGGCGGAAUGUGAUCGGGUAGAGAGUAAUGAAGCCUUUCUGAAUAGGGAGAGAGAAAGCAGGCAGAGCUUAUGAAACGAGAGAGAGCAGGCGGAGCUUUAGAAGAGGGGGAAUAGGUGAAAGUUCCCUAUACCUCAAGUGAAUGAGAAGAGAGGGUUUUAUAGGCAGGAGUGAGCAGACAAAGGUGUCGAGCUGGAGCUGUUUUGAUUAGACAUAAAGAGUGAAGAGGACGUAAAGAGAAGAAAGGAAUUUGGCAGUGGUGAGCUGACAAAGUGAGCUGGCAGAGUUGAUGAGAAGAAAGGAAUCUUUAAAGUCAGAUAUAACGUAAAGAUAAGGGGUGAAAGAGACAUGACACGAGCAAAAGCAACUUUUGUACAUGACAUGACUAAAAGAAAAAACAAAAGUAACUUUUGUACAUGACAUGACUAAAAAAAAAUAACUUGUGUCGGCCAUAUCGUACGGAAGGUAUCUUGAUUAGUGACUUCCGUCGCUUCUGUCGUACGGCUGAUGCCAUCUGUUGACCCCUUUUGGAUGUAUAUACAGGUGGCUUCACUGGAAAGGAGAAUGUGACAACUGUCUAAAACGAUAGCUGAUAUUCUUUACAGUUUGCUGGGCUGAGCAGGGCUUAUUCGGGUCUUUGCCUGAAGUCAUUGUCGGGCUUAGAUGAAGGAGAUGUGGCUUUUGAGGUUUCUUUAUGUGUGAUCUUUAAUAACUGAUUCUCUAAUUCAUCUUUAGUUGCUCUAGGGUUUUGUCUUAUAUAUUCUGCGAAAGUAUUUGGAUCAAAUUCUUUGGGAGUAUUUUUGAUAAUCAUGAGCAGCAGGAGGUAUUCGUUUAGCUUUUAUAGUAUUUGGGUCCAUGCUAAAAACAUCCCACCAUCGAAUCGAUAUUCUCUUUCCCAAUCGAGGUAUAUAUUCAAAAUUAUUAUGAGUAUUUUCAUUUAUUCUAUAUUCCCAUUGUACUAUCCAGGGUAUUUAAUAUAUAGCCAUAAAAUAAAGAUGAUAGUCUAUAUCAUCAUUAACUCCAUUAUAUUUAGCAAAUGUUUUUUGAGCACUUUUAAAGGAGUCAAGCAAUAUCUGAGUUCUUGAUCCCGAGAUUAGAAACCAGUAACGGAACCAACUCGGGAAUCUCUUAAAAACAGGCAUUUUAAUAUGAACAAACCAUGUUUGAGAAUUAUUUAGAUUUUGAUAUGCAAACACUUUAUGCCAUGCAUCUAUAUAUUCAGUAUAUCGAUAUGAUUUAUAUUGAAAUUCUGCGGCUUGAAGUUUCCGGCCCUGGGAUGGGCUGUAUCCCUAAUCAUCUUAUGACAAUAAUUUCCUCAUUUGUAUUUUCGAAUAUCCAAUUAUUUUUGUAUUGGGAUUGAAGAAAUACACAAUUGAAAUAGACCCUGUUUCUAAAAGGACAGCUUCGUACCAUUCUCUGGUCUUGUUGCCGUUUGAAGGAUUGAGGUGGUUUUGUAAAUAUAGAGGGGCUAAUUUAUUUGGGUCAAUAUGUUUCAUCAAUGAUAACAUAUAUUAAGAAAGUAGUUUCUUCAUAUACGGAUUUAUUUGGGUUAACGGAUUUAUGAAUAUAUUGGCUGAUUAUUGUUCUUUUAUCUCCAGUAUUAGGUAUUUUAUCUAUAAUUUCUAGAAUUAAAUUGUCUUCUUUGAUAAGAGUAUGACAUGCACAUUUGUUAUCGUUUUCUGAAGAUGUCUCAUUUAAUAAAUCUUCAUCUUUUAUUAUUCUUAUAUCUGAUUCUUCAUCAUAACUUUUCGAAUAUGAGGAAGAUGUUGUACUACUAUUAUUAUCAUUAUCAUAUAGUUGAAUAAUUUCAUAUAAUUGAUUUCUUAUAUUUUCAUCCACUAUUAAUGAUUCUAUCUUUUUUUCUACCUGACAAUUAUUUUUAUAAUGUCCUAAUUUUCCACAUUUAUAGCAUCUAGGUAUUUUUCUUCUAGGCUUUUUAGAACUUCCUUUAGAAGGUUGUUCAUACUUUUUGUAUUUAUUUUUCUUAUACGAUUUUUUGUAUGAUUUUUGUCGCUUUUCUUGUUUUAUUCUUUUAUGGGGUUUAUUUUGGAAAAUAUUUAGAUUGUAUUCAAAUUGUUCAUAAAAAUCACCAAGUUCUUUAUGACCAGUCAUCUUUUGUUUAUCAAGUAGUUUUUUGAGUUUUAGAUCAGUACAAAGAGCUAGCCCUUCAGCACAUAUCUCGCCCGAUAAUUCUCCUAGAGUAUAUGGUCUUAUCUCUCGGACUACCGUAUAAAUGACUAAUGUUAUCUCAAUCUUAUCUCAUAAACAUUAUUAUUGGCUAAAAGUAGUUUAACAGUAAAUAAUUUAAGAAUUUCUAAUGGCUCUGAUACCAAACAGACUCCAAAAUCUUAUUUCGUCUCAAAUUCUUAAAUUCUAAAGUUAUCUCAGUAACAUAGAGAAGAUAGUGCUAUAAUUUAAUAAUGAUCUAAGAAGAGAAGUGUAGUAUAAAAAGAUAAAUAGGUGUUAAAAAUGCAUGACUUGUAGUUUCUGCAAAGAAAAUGGUUCUUUGUCAAACUAAAAUUAGAUUCUUAGGCCAUAAUAUCUUCCAAGGCACAAUUAUUCCCAUAGAUAGAGCUAUUGAAUUUUCUACUAAAUUCCCUGAUAUUAUCUUAAAUAAAGUUGAAUUAUAACGAUUCCUAGGAUGCUUAAACUAUAUUUCUGAUUUCAUUAAAGGAAGUUCUAAAAAGCCUAGAAAAAAAAUACCUAGAUGCUAUAAAUGUGGAAAAUUAGGACAUUAUAAAAAUAAUUGUCAGGUAAAGAGAAAGAUAGAAUCAUUAAUAUUAGAUGAAAAUAUAAGAAAUCAAUUAUAUGAAAUUAUUCAACUAUAUGAUAAUGAUAAUAAUAGUAGUACAACAUCUUCCUCAUAUUCGAAAAGUUCUGAUGAAAAAUUAGAUAUAGGAAUAAUAAAAGAUGAAGAUUUAUUAAACGAGACAUCUUCAGAAAACGACAACAAAUGUGCAUGUCAUACUCUUACCAAAGAAAACAAUUUAAUUCUAGAAAUUAUAGAUAAAAUACCUAAUACUGAAGAUAAAAGAACAAUAAUCAGCCAAUAUAUUCAAAUAACAAAAACUAGAAAUAAACCAACUCCCUUAAUAAAACCACUUGAAGAAUAUAGCUUCUCUGAAAUACUUAAACGAAUUGGUAAAAAAGGUAACAGUCAUAAAGAACCUACUAUUGCUGAACUAAAACACGAAGUUAAUGAGGUAAAAUCUGAACUUAAUAAUUUGAAGAAUAGGGUUAAAUUAUUAGAAUUAACUAAUAAAUUAACCGAUAAUCCACCUGAAGAUGAAGAAAUAGAAUUUGAUGAACUAAUCACUAAUACUAGAAUAUUAGAUAAACCUGAAUCUUCAGAAAAUAAACAAGAACCUCAGUUAAAUUUAAUAAAUAAAAUCUUAAAUAAAAAAUGGUAUACCUUAAUUAAAAUAAUAGUUCAGAAUGAAUACCAUUUCCAAUCUAUGGCCUUGAUAGAUUCAGGUGCCGAUUUGAACUGCAUAAACGAGGGAUUAGUCGCUACCAAAUAUUUUAAUAAAACUACGCAAAUCCUAAAUACAGCCGAUGGAAGCAAAUUAAACAUAAAUUAUAAAUUAUCAAAUGCUGCCAUAUGCAAUAAUGGCAUCUGUCUAGAAUUACCAUUUAUCAUGGUCAACGAUUGAAGGAAUAAAAGUAAAAUUCGAAUUUAUUGAUAAACCAAAAAUAAAAGAAAUAAAUAAUAUAAAACAAAAUAUACAAAAUAAAGAGAAAUUUUUAUAUCAGCUCAAAACUGAAAUAAAACAUAAAGCAGUUGGAGAACAACUAUUACUUCUUGAAACGAAAUCAAAAAUUGAAAACCGAAGACAACAAUUUGAAAAAGAAAAUAUGUAGUGAUUUACCUAAUGCUUUUUGGAAUCGACGAAAACAUAUAGUAUCUCUUCCAUAUGAAGAAGGAUUUUUUGAAACUAAAAUUCCAAGAAAAGCCCACCCAAUUCAGAUGAAUUCAAAAAUGUUAGAAAUUUGUCAUAAAGAAAUAACUUCUCUCUUAGAAAAGGGAUUAAUUAGGCCAAGCUCAUCUCCUUGGAGUUGUGCCGUCUUUUAUGUAGAAAAUAAUGCCGAAAAAGAACGAGGAGUUCCAAGAUUAGUUAUUAAUUACAAACCACUAAAUAAAGUUUUAAAAUGGAUCAGAUAUCCAAUUCCUAAUAAAAAAGAUUUGUUAGAUAGACUUGUAAAUGCUUGUAUUUUUUCGAAAUUUGACCUUAAAUCCGGAUACUGGCAAAUACAAAUAAACGAAAAAGAUCGCUAUAAAACAGCAUUUAAUGUUUCAUUUGGUCAAUAUGAAUGGAAUGUAAUGCCAUUCGGCCUAAAAAAUGCACCAUCUGAAUUUCAGAAAAUUAUGAAUGAUGUUUUUAACCCUUAUAUGACAUCUAUGAUAAUUUACAUUGAUGAUGUUCUUAUAUUUUAAACUGAUAUACAUCAACAUUUCAAACAUUUACAUAUAUUUCUCAAUACUGGUAAAAAUGCAGGACUUGUAGUUUCUGCAAAGAAAAUGGUUCUUUGUCAAACUAAAAUUAGAUUCUUAGGCCAUAAUACUCUAAGGGUAAAACAUAAAGAAGAAAUAGUUAUUGAAAAUGUUGAACAACAUACUCAAAACUGGAACAUACCAAAGGUCCCAAUAACAAACGUAUAUAAAAAAGAAAAUUUUAAUCUAAAAAUUGUAUAUGCCAUCAAAACUGUUGAACAAAGUCCACCUGUUCAAAAUGAACAAGAAAAUCUUCAGCUCUUAACAAAUAAAAUUGUACAAUCUCAUAAAAAUAAAGAAAAUCAAUACCAUACAUAUAUUACAGACCAACAAAAACAUAUUCGAAGUAUUCAUCCUCCUGAAGAAAGUAUAAACAUCCUAGGAAAAGAUAAGCAAGAAAAAUUAGAAACUAUAGCUACUCCAAGCAAAACACUUCCUGGAGAACACUAUCAUAAAAUAGAACUAUUACCUCAUAUAUUAGAACAAAAUAAUUAUACAAAUUUAUAUUUACAAACCAUAGGAAAACAGACAACCACAAGAAAAAAUUGAAGAAAAGAAAAAGGCAAUAUUAUUUAAACCUCAUCCUCUAAUUAAUAAAGAAAGAUUUCAGAUGAAAGAAGAACCUUCUUUUGAAUUAAUGCAACAAUUAAUUACCAAAUUAGCAAGCCUAGAUAUCAAAGAAAAGGAUAAAAGUCAAGAAUCAGUAAUAAGGAUAACAGAACCAGCAGCUAUGAUGUUACAUUAAAAAUGAAUUGAAUCAAGACAUCGUUCAAGCCGAAAGCGAUAAUGUCAAUACCCUCAUAUAUACAAUAACCCUUCACUUUGUUGGAAGUACUGCCCUACUAGAAGCAAGAUCUGAAGACCUCCUUUCUAAUCUUAAAUGUCCAACCCGUUCUCACUAUAAAUGGUAUAAAGAUGUUUUUUUUUCACGACUUCUUAUUCGUGAAGAUAGUAGUUCCAAUCACUGGAAAGAAAAGUUUAUUUCCGGCCUUCCCUAUCUCUUUACUGAAAAAGUCCGCAACCGCCUUAAAACUAAAAAUGGGGGGAUUAUUCCUUAUCAACUCUAUACUCUAGGAAAAUUAUCGGCCGAAAAAUGUGCUAAACGGCUAGCUCUUUGUACUGAUCUAAAACUCAAAAAACAACUUGAUAAACAAAAGAUGACUGGUCAUAAAGAACUUGGUGAUUUUUGUGAACAAUUUGGAUACAAUGUAAAUAUUUCCCAAAAUAAACCCCAUAAAAGAAUAAAACAAGAAAAACGACAAAAAUCAUAUAAGAAAAUAAAUACAAAAAAUAUGAACAACCUUUUAAAGGAAGUUCUAAAAAGCCUAGAAGAAAAAUACCUAGAUGCUAUAAAUGUGGAAAAUUAGGACAUUAUAAAACAAUUGUCAGGUAAAGAAAAAGAUAGAAUCAUUAAUAUUAGAUGAAAAUAUAAGAAAUCAAUUAUAUGAAAUUAUUCAACUAUAUGAUAAUGAUAAUAAUAGUAGUACAACAUCUUCCUCAUAUUCGAAAAGUUCUAAUGAAGAAUCAAAUAUAGGAAUAAUAAAAGAUGAAGAUUUAUUAAAUGAGACAUCUUCAGAAAACGACAACAAAUGUGUAUGUCAUACUCUUACCAAAGAAGACAAUUUAAUUCUAGAAGUUAUAGAUAAAUACCUAAUACUGAAGAUAAAAGAACAAUAAUCAGCCAAUAUAUUCAAAUAACAAAAACUAGAAAUAAACCAACUCCUUUAAUAAAACUACCAGAAGAAUAUAGCUUCUCUGAAAUACUUAAACGAAUUGAUAAAAAAGGUAACAGUCAUAAAGAACCUACUAUUGCUGAACUAAAACACGAAGUUAAUGAGGUAAAAUCUGAACUUAAUAAUUUGAAGAAUAGGGUUAAAUUAUUAGAAUUAACUAAUAAAUUAACCGAUAAUCCAUCUGAAGAUGAAGAAAUAGAAUUUGAUGAACUAAUCACUAAUACUAGAAUAUUAGAUAAACCUGAAUCUUCAGAAAAUAAACAAGAACCUCAGUUAAAUUUAAUAAAUAAAAUCUUAAAUAAAAAAUGGUAUACCUUAAUUAAAAUAAUAGUUCAGAAUGAAUACCAUUUCCAAUCUAUGGCCUUGAUAGAUUCAGGUGCCGAUUUGAACUGCAUAAACGAGGGAUUAGUCGCUACCAAAUAUUUUAAUAAAACUACGCAAAUCCUAAAUACAGCCGAUGGAAGCAAAUUAAAAAUAAAUUAUAAAUUAUCAAAUGCUGCCAUAUGCAAUAAUGACAUCUGUAUAAAAUUACCAUUUAUCAUGGUAAAAGGACUUAACCAAGCUGUUAUUCUAGGUACUCCUUUUAUCAGUAUGUUAUACCCUAUUGUUAUAGACCAUACUGGAUUAGAAUCAACGAUUGAAGGAAUAAAAGUAAAAUUCGAAUUUAUUGAUAAAUCAAAAAUAAAAGAAAUAAAUAAUAUAAAACAAAAUAUAUAAAAUAAAGAGAAAUUUUUAUAUCAGCUCAAAACUGAAAAUAUAAAGCAGUUGAAGAACAACUAUUACUUGUUCAAAUGAAAUCAAAAAUUGAAAACCUAAGACAACAAUUUGAAAAAGAAAUAUGUAGUGAUUUAUCUAAUGCUUUUUGGAAUCGACAAAAACAUAUAGUAUCUCUUCCAUAUGAAGAAGGAUUUUCUGAAACUAAAAUUCCAACAAAAGCCCGCCCAAUUCAAAUGAAUUAAAAAAUGUUAGAAAUUUGUCAUAAAGAAAUAACUUAUCUCUUAGAAAAGGGAUUAAUAAGGCCAAGCUCAUCUCCUUGGAGUUGUGCCGCCUUUUAUGUAAAAAAUAAUACUGAAUAUAUAGAUGCAUGGCAUAAAGUGUUUGCAUAUCAAAACCCAAAUAAUUCUCAAACAUGGUUUGUCCAUAUUAAAAUGCCUGUUUUUUAGAGAUUCCUGAGUUGGUUUCGUUAUUGGUUUCUAAUCUGGGGAUCAAGAACUCAGAUAUUGCCUGACUCCUUUAAAAGUGCUCAAACAACAUUUGCUGAAUAUAAUGGAGUUAAUGAUGAUAUAAACUAUCAUCUUUAUUUUAUGGCUAUAUAUCAGAAACCCUGGAUAGUAAAAUGGGAAUAUGAAAUAAAUGAAAAUACUCAUAAUAAUUUGAAUAUAUACCCCGUUUGGGAAAGUGAAUAUCGAUUCGAUGGUGGGAUAUUUUUAGCAUGGACCAAAAUACUAUAAAACCUAAACGAAUACCUCUUGCUGCUCAUGAUUAUCAAAAUACUCCCAAAAAAUUUGACCCAAAUACUUUCGCCGAAUAUAUAAGACAAAUGUGAAGACAAAACCCUAGAGCAACUAAAGAUGAAUUGGAGAGUCAGUUAUUAAAGAUCAUACAAGAAGAAACCUCAGAAGCCACAUCUCCUUCAUCGGAGCCCAACAAUGACUUCAGCCAAAGACCCGAAGAAGCCCUGCUCAGCCCAGCAAUCUGUAAAGAAUAUCAGCUAUCGUUUUAGACACCUGUCACAUCCUCCUUUCCAGUGAAGCCACCUGUAUAUACAUCCAAAAGAGGUCAACAGAUGGCAUCAGCCGUACGACAGAAGCGACUGAAGUCACUAAUCAAGAUGCCUUCCGUACGAUAUGGCAGACACAAGUUAUUGUUUUUAGUCAUGUCAUGUACAAAAGUUACUUUUGCUUUUUCUUUUAGUCAUGUCAUGUACAAAAGUUAAUUUUUCUCGUGUCAUGUCUCCUUCACCCCUUAUCUUUAAGUCAUAUAUGACUUUAAAGAUUCCUUUCUUCCAUCUACCAUGCCCGCUCACUUUGCCAGCUCACCACUGCUAGAUUCCUUUAUUCUCUUUAUGUCCUCUUCACUCUUUAUGUCUAAUCAAAACAGCUCCAACUCGACACCUUUGCCUGCUCACUCCUGCCUAUAAAACCCUCUCUUCUCAUUUACUUGAGGCAUCGGGAACUUUCACCUAUUCCCCCUCUUUUAAAGCUCCGCCUGCUCUCUCUUGUUUCAUAAGCUCUGCCUGUUUUCUCUCUCUCUAUUCAGAAAGGCUUCAUUACUCUCUACCUGAUCACAUUCCGCUUGACUUCUGCGAAACCUUCAGGCAAGCCUUUCUCAAGUAAGAUCUUUUCAUUACCUUUUAUUUUAUUUUACAGCAAUGUGUGACUGUAAUAUACAUAAGUUACCAUCGUUCUGUCCUGACGAAUGGCAACACUUUUCAAGUUUUUGCCUUUGUAAAUUGUAAGUUGUAUACCGUCUGUAUUCAGUUUCAAUCUGUCUGUACUUUGUAUCAAUAUGUACUUUGUUUGAAUCUGUAUCAAUAAAGAUUGUUCAUAUUAUGCAGUUUAAAAUAACAGUUAGCGUUAAGAUACUAAAUAAUAAUUAUACCACGUGGAUAAUAUUAGAUAUCUCUGUUAUUUCAUUCAUUAUUAUUCUAUUUAUCUUUUUAUACUACACUUCUCUUCUUAGAUCAUUAUUAAAUUAUAGCACUAUGUUCUCUAUGUUACUGAGAUAACUUUAGAAUUUAAGAAUUUGAGACGAAAUAAGAUCUUGGAGUCUAUUUGGUAUUAGAGCCAUUAGAAAUUCUUAAAUUAUUUACUGUUAGACUACUUUUAGCCAAUAAUAGUGUUUAUGAGAUAAGAUUGAGAUAAUAUAUAUAUAUAUAUAUAUAUAUGAGAUGAAAGAAGAAAGAAUGCGUGUGGGGCAAGACCUCCCUUUAGAGAGGAAAGACCUUCCGAUAGAUAUGCAUCCUUCCUAUGGAGAAAAUCUCUUAGAGAAAAGACAACUUCUGAUGGAGAGGCCUCUUUCCCAUGGAGAAAACACUACUAUGGAGCGUCUUUUAGGCAAGGCCUCCCUUGUGCCUCAUUUUAUUGUAGUGAAGCAAUUUUCAUGCAGAUUUUGGGUCUUUUAGUGAGAGAAAGUCUCGGUUGUAGAGAUUGGGAUGCUGGUUAUUUCUAGAAAAGCAAUUCCCAUGCAAAUUUUUAGUCUUUUAGUGAGAGAAAGUAGCGGUAGAGAGCUCGGUUGCUCUCAAGGUUGUAGAGGUUGAGAUGCUGGUUUUUUUUAUAGAGAAAUGGUUCCCAUGUAGAUUUUGGGUCUCUUAGUGAGAAAAAAUCUCAGUUGCUCUCAAGGAUGACAAUAGAAUAUAGAUGGGUCUUCUCUUGAACAAAUUUUGGGUGGUUUCCCUUUUUAGUGAGAGAAAGUUCUUUUUUAAUGAGAGAAAUUCUUGAUUACUCGACUCUCAAGGUUGACAGUAAUUUAGUUUUGGAAUAGAGAUAUGUCUCUUCCUGGAUAGUGGUUGUGCUAUGGAAUAGGGACAGUCUCUUCCUGAACAUUCCUAGACAGUGGUUUAGCAGUGGAAUGAUUUUAGGUUCCUGAACUUUCCUGGAUAAUUGUUUAGCUGUGGAAUGAUUUUGGGUUGCCACCCCUUUUAUUGAGAAAAAGUCUCCCCUUUUAGUGAGAGAAAGUCUCGGUUACUCGGUUCUUAAAGUUGACAGUGGUUUAGCAAUGGAAUAGAGACUGGUCUAGAGAUAGUAUCUUCCUGGACAGUGGUUUAGCUGUAGAAUAAAAGCGGUCUCUUCUUGGACAACGAUUUAGCUAUGAAAUAGAGAUAGGUCUCUUCUUGAAUAGUGGAUUAAUUAUGGAAUAGAGAUGGGUCUCUUCUUGGACAGUGGUUUAGCUGUGGAAUAGAGAUUGUCGGGGAUACCGGUUGAGAGAGCAAGUCUAAAAGGGUUUUGCUCAAUUGGAUUUUGUCGAGGGUUAAAGAUGUAACUAUAUGUCCCAAAAUAUUUGAUAUAAUUUUCAUUUGGCAUUGAUAUAGUGGAUUUCAAUUUGCGAUGCCUGUGGAUAUUUUCUUUCAGGGUGAACCACGUAAAUCUAUCUUUGAUGUAACUUUCAUUAGCAUUGGUAUAAUGGAUUUCAGUUUGUAGUGCCUGUGGAUGUAGCCCUUCUAGCUGAACCACAUAAAUCUUUAUGUUCUUGUGGCAUGUGUGUUUGAUGCUUUAUUUCUGGUAUGCAUUAUUUCUCAUAUUAUAACUCAUACUCUCGCUUAUUUUAUUUCUAGCUAGAGUAGUCUCACCUAUUUUAGUUCUAAUUGGUAUGCUUUAUUUCUUGUAUCAUGAUUCGUACUCUCACCUAUUUUAUUUUUUAGCUGGACUACACUUGCCUAUUUUAUUUCUAACAGGAUUUUCUAGCAGGAGUACUCUAGCCUAUUUAAUUUCUAGAUAGAAAGUAAACGAUCUUGAUGGAUCUAACUUUUUAGGAUUCGUCUUUCCACAUCUAAAAGGGUUAUUAAAUCCUAACAUAUAAGGGGCGAAUUGAAGUGGCCAGACAACUUGAAUGAAGUGGUUAGACAACUUAAAUCUAAAGUUGAGGUAAUUUGGAAGAUCCAACUUUUGAGUUUUCUCUUUCUGCAUCUAAGAAGGUUAUUAAAUCCUAAGUUAUAUGGGGCAAAUUGGAGUGGUCAGACAACUUAAAUAUGAAGUUGGGGUAAUUUGGAAAAAAAAAAACAAUUAAAAUAGGUAUGCGGGUAAUAUUUCUAACUAGUAGAAGGUUUUAGUAAUGAGGAGUAAUCAAAAGGGGUAUGGACAUAAUUUUCUCUUAAAAAAAGCAUAAUUGGAAUCAAAAGGGGUACGGACAUCAUUUUCUCUUAAAAGAAAGUAUAAUUGUGAUGAUAUGUGAAGAAUUAAGAUAAAUAGUCAAAAUAUAUUUGAAAUAAACUGUUUUAAACUUUAAAAAAAUCUAUUUUUAUCUUUCAUUGAUCGCGCGUAUUGAUAUGAUCUAUCUCUAACAACAUGGAUUAUGGAUGAGAUUGUGAGGUGCUCCAGCACUAGAACCCCAUCUGCAUAAAUAAGCUCAGUAAGCUCCUACCUCCAAGGUUUGGGACGGGGAAAGAUUGAAGGAAAAGUGCACAAUUGCCCUUCAACGGUUGACAUUUAAUCUGGGAAGAUUUAAGGGCUACAAAUUGAUUUUAUUUUUUUGUGUUUAUAUUUGCAAAUUAUCUUAUAGCAAAAUUGAGUAUCACGUUCAGUUUUAUAGGACGUAUCUAAUUGAAAAAUAAGAAAAAAGAAAAAGGAAAUUAAACAAAAGAAUGACUGAAAUAUCCCUAACUGUUGAGGGGUAUUGUAGUUAAUUUUCAUUGAGAUUAUAUUUUUUAAUUUUGGGCACGUGUACUACGAUCCUGCAGGACUAUACUGUGCUUUAUUCCCUCACCCAAACACCUAUUUAGGAAGAUUUUCAAAGUCUAAAAUUUUGUGAACUGCAUAAUAAUUACUAGAUGAUUAUUUUCAAAAGAAAAAAAUUGAAUUUUGAGUUUUGUGACUCUUAGAUCUAACCCUUCAAAGGAUGGUAUUAAUUCAAUCUUGAGGCACUAGUUGUUUUUAGCACCUAGGGAGUUUAUAUGGAUUUUUUUUAUAAUUAAGAUUAGUUUAUGAGUUGUGGAGAUCACAUCCCCAAAAUUUGAGAUCUAAAAAAUAUUCAUAGCAUGUGUUUUCUCCAAGGGACUGAAUGGAUAGUAUACUCCUAAGCGAGAAUGGAUGUCAUUUGGGUUUAAUUUUUAAAGAGGUGCAUGAUUUUUAAAUGUAUGAGGAUGCCGCAAUUGUCUGAGUGAAAAAUAUUUGCAAUUGAAUAAAGUACAAAGGGAAAGUAUCUCCAUACUUUCUACUUUUAGGUUUUAUUUCACAAUAGAUCUAAGGUUUUAAAAGAUAUAUUGAGGUAUAAAAAUUAUAGAUUUUAUUUCUUCUAAUCCACUGAACUAAUUCAAACAUGUUUUUUUAGGCCAAACAAAUCUAAAAGGGAAAAGUUUAUAUAGAGCCGAGGCUCUAAACAAUCAAAUUUGAGCCUACCUAAAAAUUACCCUGGAAGACAUUGUUUUCAUGCUCAAAUAUCCUCAAAUUCAUUGUCUCGACAUCAAGAUGCAUGGGUAUGAGAAAAAAUUGGAUUUCAAGUUUUAAAAAUUAUGUAUUUUGUAAUACAGUUUUGGACCGUCAAUUUUUAAGAUUUUCAAGUUUUCAUAGACCUAUUGAUCUACACUAUUUUUGAAGCUUUAAACUUUAUAAAUAAACAUGAAAAUAUAUUUGAUGGCUAUCACAAAUAUUUUCAAUAUUGAAACUAUAUUUCUCGACACUAUUAAAAGGUAGCCUCUAAUUUGAUUGUUUAGAGUUUAAGCUAUGUACAAACCACACCCAAUUUAAAAAGACAUGUCUUUCCUAUAAGAAACGUACAAAGCAAACUUCCUAGCAUCCUAAGUUUUUUGAAAAGGGACAAAGCGAAUUUUGCGUUCUCUUUUCUAAAAGAAAUGAAACCUAAAAUUAAAUUAUAUGAAGAUAUUUUCUUUAAAAAAUUCAAUUUCUAAACUUAUAAUAAGCCAAAUUCUAUGUGAGCCAUUAAAAAGGAUUCAAGCGUCCACUUCACGUGGUCAAUUUAUAUGGUGCACAAUCCAGACACCGUGUCAUCAAUUAACCGGCACCGGCUGUGAUAUUUGCACAUCGUACACAUAUUUGUCCACGCUCACGUUAGUGUAUCAUUCAUUCGGAUCGGAGAAUCAGCCGUUUCGGCCUUCCAAAAAAUUUAUGUAGUUAUUAAAAAUAUCUAAAAAUAUUAUUUUUUGAAGGUGAAAUCUUUUUUGAGAAGUUACAUUGUGUACUUUAACUAUUUGUAAAAAUAUAUGAAUAUUGAGACAUUGUUUCUCUAUUUGAAUAUAUGGAUAAUUAUUAAUCAUAAUAUAAUAUUAUAAUAUUGCAUCAAAUGAUUCAAAAAAUUAAAAAACACUUCUAUAUUAUAAAAUUAAAAAUAAUAAUAUCUCUAAUAAAAUGAUACUAGUAUCACUUCAAAAUAUUUAUUGAUUAUCUUUACUCAUCUAAAAUUAUCACAACAUAACUAACUAUAAUAUUAUACACUGAAAAUAGAAGUAUUGAUUUACAUUUUAUAAUUAUUUUAUAAUUCAAAUGAUAAUAAUUUUAAAAUUUGUUUUACAAUGUCAUUUCAUUUAAAAAAUCUUAUUUACAACUAUAAAAAAAAAAAUACAUUGUAUUAUUUUUAAUGCAAAUAAAUUAAAUAAAAUAUAAGAUUUGGUUAUCAAUCAUAAUUAUUAAUUAUAAUAUUAUAAUAAACAUGAUUCAAAAAAUAUUAUAAAACAUUUUCAUAAAAGACUCAACCUUUUUUCGCAAGAAAUGGACGUUUCAAGGAGGGUAUUCAGCCUAUAAUCAAUGUAGCUAAUCCAUUGCUUCAAGUAUUUUUUGUUUGAAUGAGCCUUUUUCUUUUUUUUAUAAAUUCAUUGAAGAGUUUGUGAAUUCCUUUCAUAGCUCCAAUCCGGGAAAAGCACUUGAGAGAAAGGGACAAAAUGAAAUUCCCGGCAUCGUAAAUUCUUAGAAGCUAACAUUAUUAUAAAGGAAAAAGUUUAUAUAGAGCAGAGGCUCUAAACAAUCCAAUUAAAUCUCAUUUCAAAAAUUUCACUAGAAGAAGUUGUUUUGAUGCCUAAAUAUCCUCAAAUUGAUCAUCUCGACAUCAAGAUUCAUAGACAUGAGAAAAAAAUGGAUUUCAAAAUUUGGAAUUAUUGCACAUCAAAUUUUCCAGAUUUUCAAGUUUUCAUAGAUCUGCUCGAUCUAUACUAUUUUUGAAGCUUUAAAUUUUAUAAUUAAAAAUAAAAAUAUAUUUUAAAGCUAUCACAAAGAAUUCCAUUAUUGAAAUCAUAUUUCUCUAUACGAUUUAAAAGUGCACUUUAGUUGGAUUGUUUAUAGCCUCAGCCUCUAUAAAAACCUCACCCUAUUAUAUUUAUAAUAGAACGUAACUACAGCUAGUCUAAGAGCCUCCCAUGCAUGAGGAGUGUAUUGUCUUGGUUCUUUAUGGGUGGUACCCGCAAUGGUGGGCCCAAGGGGUAUUUUAUAAAGUAUCUACUAGGCGUCAAUUUUUUAAGAAAUAAAACUUGAAGACCAUGGAACCCCAUUUCACUACGAUAGGAUGGUUACGGAUUAGACGAUUCUGAUUUGAAUCGGUGAUAUUUUAAAUUUUGGUUUGGAACUCCUUUUUUUUUUUUAUGUAAGUCGAUGUAUAUAAGUCAAUGGGGGAGAAGCCCCCCUACCCAUUUUUUAUUAAUAUGUAAAAAUAAUGAUGAUUACACCUUAUUCCAUAACAACCAUGGAAUAGGGCACCUAUGACAAAUCAUGAAGUAAAGCAAGAGAAAUAAAGUCAGGUGGACGUGAACGCCAAAUGGUAGCUUGUAAAAGAGAUGUGGCAUUCUUUGCAAGAAUAUCGGCCACCAUGUUGACUUCAUAAAAAAUACGAAAAAUGGACCACCUACGAUUUGAAAGAUGUUGCCUACAAUUUACUGCAAUCGUAUAUAACUUCAAAAGAGACCAACAAUGUUCAUGAAUAACAUUAAUGAGUAAAGCUGAGUCACUUUGAAUUUGAAGAGGAAAAUUACUUUAGCUGAAUGGCUAGAACCAAAUCUUCUUCAAGAGCGGAGAAUUCCGCAUAAUUAUUGGAAGCAAUUCCAAAAGGUUUUGAGAACGUCGCAAUAAAAGCAUCAUCACGAUCUCUAAUAACACCACCCACACCUGUUGAACCUACGUUAUGCAAGGAGACCCCAUCAAUGUUUAACUUGAAAUGAUUAGGGCUAGGAAAUGACCAAUCCGCCAAGACAACCAACUAAUCCCUCUGUUGAUUCCAAUUGACUUGUAGAUUAUCAAUAAUUGCUUUUUCUAAGACAUGAAAUGCCCAGGUUUAGCAUCAGCUACCUCUCGAACAUGAGAAAUGAUCUGUCAAAGCAAUUAUUCCCUCCUGAUUAAUCUUGAUUGGAAAACUCUUUUAUUGUGCUCCGCCCAUAAAACCCAAACAGUUGUGAAGAAUAGAGUCAAACAUUGAAAAAACCAUUGGAUUUGAAUAUGAAAGAUAACCAACUUCUCAACAUAUUGAGAAUAGAAGAUCCAGAAAUAAAGCAUUGACCGCAAUGCUAUACUAGAGAUCUCCAUAUUGCCUGCGAGAAAUCUCAAAGGAAUAGUGAAUCAAUGGUUUUGAUUGGUGAAUCGGACCUAUUCUCUGGUGUGAGCAUAAGUCCAUAAAAACAAAAAGAAAAAUAGAAAAUAAUAAUAAAAAUAUAAUGUGUGGAAUCGGGCAAUCUGGUUGGUCUAGAUCGAGUUCCUGAUGGACACACCUGGUUCUCUAAUGGAACCUAGCGAGUCCAUAAGAACUGGAUUGACUAUCGACAAUGACAAGGAACUAGUUUUAGCGGUGGGAAUUGGUCGAGUUGGGUCCCCAGACCUAGUUCAGGUCUGGGUAAGGUCCAAGUCAAUUGGACCCAAAACCAAUCCACAUGGUCAUUAGGAAAACGAAAAAAGAUAAAUAUUAUUUAGUCAAUAAAAAAAAAAGAAGGAAUAGAGUUAAACAUCCUUUUUUUAUAUAGAAAUAGGACCUACACCCUUAUCUCCAAAAUUAUCAUCCAAAAUACGCCCCUAGCCAAUAAAAACCCAUAAAACCACUUUAAAUUAAAUGAAUAAGAUAUUUAACACCCUCCUUAUCUAUUUUAUUGUCCACAUUACUGUAUGUCUUUUUAAUUGGCCUCAUCAUAUAAAUGGAGUUUGUGAUGCAUCUUUUAACAUACUUGUGAGGUUCACGAGAUGAGAGAAAGAGACAUGUUUUUCAUAGAAAGUUGUUAAAGAGAUAGGGAGGUAGAGGUUCACAAGUGAGGAAGUGAGAGCAUUUCCAAGGUUCACAUUAAUUGGUGAUUAAAAAAAAAUAGAAGUAAAUAUUGUAAUUUGGACAAUAGAAAAAGUAAGAAGAGGCUUAAACAUCUUGUUUUUGAUAUCAUGAGUAGCUCAUGAUAAAUCAUAAAUAUGGAUAUCAUGAGUAGGUCAUGAUAAAUCAUAAGUAUGGAUAUCAUGAGUAGGUCAUGAUAAAUCAUAAGUAUGGAUUUAUUGCAAAAUAAUUGUAUUUGUAGAUGUUUUUAGCAGCCAAAAGCCUAAGCAAAGAUAGUGCCCUAAAGCCAAAUUAUAAGGACCCUAAAUUCAUACUCUCUUUCCCUUUGUGGUAUUUUAACAAAGGGUGUGAUUUGCAUCAGGUUGCAAACUUAAACAAUCAAAUUAAGGCGCACCAACAAGUUUUAUCCUAAGAUAUAAUUUUAGUUUAAAAAAUUCUUAGAAUGGCAUGAGAAUCAAUUUUCAUCUCUAAUUAUAAUAUUUUAAACUCUAAAAAUGUUUCAAAUCAAGUAGAUCUAUAAACACAUAGAAAUCUUCAAAAAAUAGAUGGCCCAAAUAAUAUGUUGCAAGAUGCACUAUUUUUUCAGGCUCAAAUUUUUUUCCUUUUUCUUUUUGUCAUAUUCAAUACAUCUUGAUGUCAAGAUGAUAACUCAAAAUUUUUUCAAUAUCAUAAUAACUUUUUUCGAUAUAUUUUUUAGGAGCACCUUAAUUCUACAUUUUAAUGUUGCAACCCGAUAUAAAUUUUUACCUUUAACAAAUGGUUUAAAUAUAGAGAUUGUAUACAAUGAGACCAUUUACCUUUGGUAUAUGAAGGUCACACUUACUUACAACAAUCCAAUGUAAAAUCUGAUAAUUUGGGUGUGUCACAAAGUUUCGAAAAUUUUUUUGUUGAACUUUGAACUUGGUCAAUGAAAUAAAUGCAGCCACCCAAUUUCACAUCCAAUGGUUCAGAAUAACUGUGAUUACUUUGUACCAAAGGUAAAUAGUCUCAUUAUAUGCUUUUUAAUAGUCUCAUUAUAUACUUUCCCUUAAAACUAACAUGGACUUUAUUCCCUCACAUCCAUAUGCGUCUCUAGCCAAAUGCCCAUGGUGGUAAAAGCGAGAGAGAGAAAGAGAGAUAUUUUUUGAGCUUGAAAACAAUCUAAACUUUAUCAUUUUCCUUUUUCUUUCUGCUCUUUGAUCUUUGUAUCAAUUAUCAAGCUAGCCGAAAGAUUAUGCGCUCAUGUUUAUGAUGUCAUCUAGGAGUAUGUUUAAGACCUUAAAAUUUAUGGAAAAAUUAUAUUCUACUUACAAAAAAAAUCUCAUUUUACUUGGGGAAAAUCAUGGAUUCCUGAAAUGUAUUUUAUAGAGAUUCAACUCUCCAAUAUUUUUUGUAUCACACUCGUAACCCAAUUACUGUUUUUCUUUGCUUUAAACCCCCAAGUAAAAAAUUUGUAACUUUUAUAAUGAACCUACCCUUUUUAGUACACAUUUCCUCACGUUUCUGUCGACUCACAUGAACACGGCUCGAAGAAAAAAUGGGAGAGCAAGCAAAAAUUCAUAGUGGGAGUGAACUAAUAAUAAAUAAAUAAAAAUGUAAUUUUUGUAUAUAUUUCAUUUGUCAUUUAUUGUCAUUGUAUAUUUGUGAAGGGAUAGUUUGGAUUACACUAAAUAUAUAUUGUAUAUAAACUAUUUUAGGAUUUUAUUAUUGUCAAUGAGAAUUGGCCCCACGUUCCAUUUCUCUCUCUAUCACUCUCUUUCAUCUUUGCUUCUCGAAAUCUAUCAUGGUAUCAGAGCUCUAAAGAUCCGAUUAUUUCUUUGCCCGCUACUGUUCAUGCAAGUUAUUCAUUAAUUCUUUACCCCUAGUUGAACUUUACUUAGAGGCAUAAAAUUUUAUUUUGUGUCCAUGAUAGGAAAUUGACUUAUUCUCGAUAUUUUUCCAAUUUAUUUGUGAUCCAAGUAAUUUUAGAGGUUUCCUUAAAAAAAAAAAAAAUUGAGAGCAUUUACUUCAAAUAUCCUAUCCCCUCAUGGAAUCCAAGAAUAGUACAAAAACUGCUACUAUGUCUGUGCGUCUUGAUGGGAAGAACUACGGAUUGUAGUCAUUCUAGAUGCGACGCUUUCUUAUAGGAAGAAAGUUAUGGGGUUAUGUUGAUGGAUCUAUACGCCAACCUACAGCUGAGAAUGGGCCCAAUGAUUGGUUUGCUAUUGAUAUUUAUAUUAUUACAUGGAUCAUGAAUUCAAUUGAGAAUAAAAUUGGGUGCAACCUCCUAUAGCAACCUAAUGCCAAAGCCAUGUGCGAUUAUUGCGCAACCUCCUAUAUCAACCUAAUGCCAAAGCCAUGUGCGAUUAUUUGAAGAAGAUUUACUCUCAAUAAAAAAUGGCUCGCCUCUAUAUGCGUAAAAAUGAAAGCUUGAAAACACAACAAAGGGAUUCAUCUGUCCAUGACUAUUUCAAUUCCCUUUCAGGCAUAGUGAAUGAGAUGGACUUGAUGAAGACUGAAUCACAUGACAAGGCAGUUACUAAAUCUAGAAAUCAAGCUCGUUUAUUUCAUUUUCUAAUGGGGCUGCGAUCAAAUUUUGAAAAUAUGAGAGCACUCUCCUUGUUGAGGUCACUCGCUUAGGUUAUCAUUGGAUUUGCAAAUCUAAUUCACCAGAUAUUACUGAUGUGGCUUUAGCUAUAUCCAAUGGCUCUAACAAGGAUUUCAACUACGAUCAAGUACUAUGUAAUACAUGUAGACAAAAAGGACACAUAAUUGCACAUUGUAAGAAGCAAAUUUUUUGCAAUUAUUACAAAAAGAUUGGCCAUAUAAUUGCUUAUUGUUAAAAAAGGCCUCACGCUCGUGGAAAGGCUUCUACAAGUGGUUCUACUCAAUUAGCUGCAUUGGCCUUUAUUCCUAGUUCAACCAACAUGGACGAAGUUGUUUCUAUUGACUCCCACUCUACAUCUACACCCACAUCAUCUAUAGUUCCUGUACUCUUUUCAGAGUUUCCCUCUGUUAACUCAAAUACACUUCAACAGCUUACUCAUGCCUUACCUGCCUUGGGUUUUUCAGGUAAUUCAAAUGCUCUUUCAAAUACUUGGAUCAUAGACUCAAAUUCUCUUUCAAGUACUUGGAUCAUAAACGCAAGAAUAUCUAACCAUUUGACAGGACAAAUAUCUCAAUUAUCCUCUGUGACACCUCAUUUCGGUCAAUUGACUUAUUUUACUGCUAAUGAAGACUCUAGAAAUACCAUUAUUCCUGGUCCCUCUGGUGAUUCCUUAUCACUUAAGGAUGUCCGUCAUGUUCCUAACCUUCCUCUCAAUUUGUUAUCUACUUGUCAAUUAGUUGACAAUAAGUGUCUUGUCUCAUUUUCUAAUAAAGGUUGUGUGUUCCAGGAUCAAGCAACAAGGAAGGUGAUUGGGAAAGGCACUAAGAAGGGUCAUCUCUUGACAGUCAACUUCAGCAAGCGCCUUUUCACCUUUCACAGGCCCUAUAUGUUUGCCACAUUUCCCUUUCUUUUCAUGAAAUAUGCCAAUCAAUAUCUCUCUGAUAUGUUUGGCAUUGUAGGUUAAGUCAUCCACACUCUCAAAAAGUGUUAUCCGUUUUGUAUUAUGGGAUGUUAUUUUUCCAAUAAAAAGCUUAAUAAAGAUAUUUUGUGUGAGAGUUGCAAGUUAGCAAAACACUUGGCUCUCCCUUCCCCUCGUAGUAAUAAUAAAAAGUACCAGCCAUUGUUUUUUAGUGUACUCUGAUGUGUGGGGGCGUGCUCCUGUUCCUUCGAUUAGUGAUUUUUCUUAUUAUGUGAGAUUUAUUGAUGAUUCUUCAAAGUACACAAGGGUUUAUUUUCUCAAACACAAAUCAAGUGUGUUUAAUGUUUUUCAAUACUUCCAUAGCAUGAUUAGAAAUCAAUUUAAGAAAAAUAUUAAAGUCUUUAGGUCAGAUUCAAGGGAGGAAUACCUAUCCAAGGAAUUUCAGGCAUAUCUUAGUACAAAUGACAUUUUACAUCAACGUUCAUGCCCUAAUACCCCUGAACAAAAUGAAGGUGUCGAAAGUAAGCAUCAUCAUAUCUUUGAAAACAACUAGUUCUCUUCUUAUAAGCUUUCAUUCUCCUAAUAAUAUGUGGGCUGAAGCAAUCUCCACUGCUGCGUAUCGUGUUAAUCUUCUUCCUACUCCUGUUCUGCACAAUGUUUCACCUUUUCAUAAGUUUUUUCAAAAUUACCCUGAUUACUCACACUUACAAGUGUUGGGUGCACUUGUUUUGUUCUUCUACCCUCUCUUGCACGAGAUAAACUCUCAUCUAAGUCUGUCAAAUACAUGUUUGCGGUAUACAACUAAUCAAAAGGGGUAUCGUUGCUUUGAUCCCACCAUUAAUUGUGUGAGAAUCUCACAACAUGUUUUUUUUUUCUUUUAAAUAUAUCUUUUCAUCAACACUAUUUACACCCUACUACACCCACAUGUCCACCUGAUUUUUUAAUCCUCACUGGAUUCGACAUUCCUAGUCCUCAAGGCUGUAACUCCAAUGAGCCAACUCUUCCUAGUACUGAUCAUCUACCACCUCCAAUUGUUGAUCUACCCAUUGUCUCUCAGCAACUUUGGCAGUCUCUUUGUAAGUUUGUUCCUUCUGAUUGUCUUAACUUGCUAGUGGUUUGCUUAUCUCAUACAUGUUUUCCAACAAGCACUCCUAACCCUUUUUUUCAUGUGUCAUCCUCUUAUUCUCAGGCAUUUAAACUUUAAUGUUGGCACAUGGCCAUGAAUGAGGAAAUCACAGUUUUAGAGGUGAACCACACUUGGGAUUUAGUUCCAUUGCCCCCUAACAAGCAUGUCAUUGGUAGUAAAUGAGUUUAUAAGAUUAAGUUAUGAGCUGAUGACACCCUUGAGCGGCACAAAGCACAAUUAGUUACAGAAGAUUAUACUCAAGAAUAUGGUAAUGAUUAUGAAGAAAAUUUUGCUCCUGUUGCUAAGAUGACUACAAUUCGUACUCUUCUUGCACUAGCAUCAAUUCGUGACUGGCCUAUAUUGGCAGAUGGAUGUUAAAAAUGUUUUUCUUAAUGGAGAGCUUCAAGAUGAAGUUUAUAUGCACCAACCACCUGGAAUUUGUUGUUAUACCUGUGUUUGCUGCUCUAGAUACAUCAUUUCUGUCGACUUCGUAAUGUAAUUUAUGGUCUUAAACAACUUCUUUGUGCAUGGUUUGAGCAUUUUAGGGAUGUCAUUCUUGCAACUGGUUUUAUUCAAAGUAAACAUGAUCACUACAUGUUUAUUCAUACCACAGACAUGACAUUUGUAUUAUCUUACUAUAUAUUGAUGAUAUUCUCAUCUCUUGAGAUGAUUACACUUCCAUCAAAGAUAUGAAGCUACGAUUCCAAAAAGAAUUUCAAAUGAAAGACCUUGGGGAAGUAUCUUACUUCCUUGGCCUUGAGAUCGCUCGUUCUAAACAUGGUAUUUAUAUCCAUCAACAGAAGUAUGCAAUUGAUCUUAUUCCAGUUCCCGAUUGACUGAUGUGAAGGUUGUAGAUACACCCAUGGAGCUUAAUGUUAAAAUUUCUGCGCAUUUUAGAGACCCUCUUCCUGUGCCUACAAUGUAUCGCAAACUCGUAGACUCCCUCAUCCAUCUCACUAUGACAUACCUAGAUAUUAAAUAUGAUGUCUACGUUGUAAGCCAGUUUGUUUUAGAUCCUUGAUGACUACAUCUAUCAACAAUCCAUUGAAUUUUAUGCUAUGUUCAAGGUACUUCCAUUCGUGGAUUAUUUUUUACCUUCACAUCUUUUUUUAGAUCUCAGCGCAUAUGCAGAUGCAGAUUGGACAGGUGAUUCAGACACUUGUCGCUCUACUACAGGAUAUUGUGUAUUUCUUGGAUCCUCCUUGAUAUCAUGGAAGAAUAAGAAACAAGAUAUUGUCUCUAAGUCAAGCACUGAAGCUGAGUAUCGUGCUCUGUCCUUUGUUAUCAGUGAGAUUAUUUGAGUUUGUGCUCUUCUCAAUGAUUUUGGUAUCACUAUUUUCAUAUCCCACACCUUUAUAUGCAAAUAACCAAAGUGCGAUUAAAAUUGCAUCUAAUCCAGUCUUUCAUGAGAGGACAAAGCAUAUUAAUGUGGAUUACCAUUAUGUUUGUGACAUCUAUCUUGAUGGCAUAUUAUCUGUCCAUUAUGCGUGUUCUACUAUACAAACGACUAAUAUUUUGACCAAAUCAGUUACUCGAAAACUCCAUGAUUUUCUCGUGGACAAGAUAAUGCUUUCCUCAUGUCCGCAUCAGCUUGACGGGGUAAUAAUAAAUAAAAUUGCUACCUUUUUUAAUAUUUACGAAGUGGCCUUAGGGAUUAAGGUUAAUUUUGCGAAGUUGGAUGUAGUUGGUAUUAAUUGUGAUGAAUCCUUAUUGGCCUGAAUGGCAACUACCCUAGGUUGCAAAGUAGAGAACUUCCCUAUCUUGUACUUGGGGCUGCCUAUUUUAGAUGGGAGGUUACCUAUGGGUGUAUGGGAUAAAGUAAUCCAAAGAAUUCAAAUUAAACUUGAUUUAUGGAAGUAUAAAGACAUCUCUUUUGGAGGUAGGAUUACCUUGAUUAAAGCUUGCCUCUCAAAUUUAUCGAUCUAUCAAAUGUCCUUGCUGCAGAUUCCUCACAGGGUGGUCAAGAAGAUUGAAACUUUGAUGAGAAACUUUUUGUGGAGCUCUUUCGACAACUCUUAAAAUGUUGCACUUCUUGCGUUGGGAUAGGGUGUGUACCCCUACGAUGGAAGGUGGACUAGGCUUAAGGCGAGUUACUUUGUUUAACUAAGCACUUAUGUCUAAGUGGUGGUGGAGAAGUUUGAUCCUUAAAGACCAGUUGUGGUACAAAGUUGUUGCUGCAAAAUAUGGGGUUGAUCGAUUUCAGAUGUGAUUUGGAGGUAGAAGUGGUACACAGGCGAUGUCUUCUCUCUGGAAGCACAUUCAUUCGUGUAGGGCGCUGAUUCACAAGGAUGUCCGGUGGUCCUUGGGUGAUGGUUGUAGCAUCUCUUUCUAGCACCACAAGUGGGUUGGAGAUGUGCCUUUGAAGCUUCUCUUUCCCGUUGUUUUUCGACGUAUGGUUAACCUCAAUGCUGCUGUCACUACUGUGUUUGUACGCAGGGGUUGCCAGGUGAGUUGGAACAUUUCUCUCCCCUAUAGUAGGAUUCCCGAUGCUGUUUUUCAGGAAUUCGUUGGGCUGCUUAUCCUUCUCCAUCAGGUCUAUGUUCCACAUAAUGCCUCCGACAUAGACAUUUGGAAGAUUCAGUCCGAUGGACAGCACUCAGUUAAGUCCAUGCAUAACCUCUUGUUCUGUGACCACUAGCAUUGGUCGAUGCCUCAGAUUGCCCUAAUCUGGAAAUGGCCUUUCCCUUUAAAGAUACAAGCUUUCCUUUGGCUGGAAGUACAAAAUAAGGUUCUCACUGUUGACAACCUUAUCAAGAGAGGUAAGGUGUUGCCUAAUGUGUACUUAUUGUGUAAAUUGGAUGCUGAAAUAGGGCCACACCUCUUUCUUCAUUGCGCUUUCACUUUUUGAAUCUGGUGCUGGUUUUUGAUGAACUUGGUCUUGCCUUGGUGAUGCCUGCUGAUGUUCUUGGGAUCAUCUCGAUUUUGUCGGCUCCCCUUCCGAAGGCUAGCAUGAUCUUACGGAAGAUGACAAGAUGUGUAAUUCUCUGGGAGGUUUGGAAGGAAAGGAACCGUAUUUCGAUAAUGUCAACCUACCUUUUGCGAAGGUGUUGGACAAUAUUCUUCAUGGGUUGUGGCUCUUCUGCUCUGUGUCGAAGGAUCGAUCCAAUAUGUUGGAAAUUGAUGUCAAGAGGAACCUUUCAAUCCUCUUUCGUCUAAGUGUUUUCAAAAGUAGACCGACGCGUAGAUGGAUGCCCCCCUUGGAGGGAACUUUUAAACUCAAUUUUGACGGAAGCUCUUUGGGAAAUCUUGGUCCGGCUGGCAUUGGAGGUGUUCUAAGAGACUGAAAUGGUACGGUGGUGUUCUCUUAUGCUGGACCCCUUGGGGAUAGAACGGCCAACUAUGCGUAGAUGCAGAGCCUUCUUCAUGGCUUAAAGAUCUUCAUUGAAAGGCAACUAGGCCGGUUCUGUAUUGUGGAGGGGGAUUCACUGAACGUCAUUAAUUGGUGUAAUGGAACUCAUAGACCCCCCUAAGAGCUUAGGUUCACCUUGCUGCAGAUCUGGGAUUUGUCUAGGACUCCUGAUACUUCGUUUGUGCAUGUUUUUCGUGAGGCUAAUGUGCUAGCCUAUCAUUUUGCAAAAGGUAGUUCGACCCUUACGUCUUUUUUAUCUUCAGAUACUGUAAUAUCUUUCUAGCUUUUGAUUAAUACAAGUACCGAAUUUCUCUCAAAAAAAUAAUAAAUAAAAUAAAAUGUAAUUUUGUAUAGCUUUCAUUUGUCCUUUAUUGUCGUUGUAUAUUUACGUAGGGAUAGUUUGGUCUACACUAAAUAUAUAUUGUAUAUAAACCCUCUUAGGGUUUCAUUCUUGGUAACGAGAAUUAGCCCUACAUUUCAUUUCUCUAUCUAUCUCUCCCUUUCAUCUUUGCUUCUCGAAAUCUAUCAUGAACAAGAACACCAAAACUUGAUGGAUAUUUGCGAACUAGGCAUAGAGUCACAAAACCCCAAAAUAUGAGGCUAGUAUUUGGGGCAAUGUGUCGAUGGGGUUCGAGGGUUAUUUCUAGUCAAGGUUAGCAAGUAUACCUUAUGAUCGUUUAACAACUAUGGCAGACUGUUAAGUAUUUCUGAGUACUUCGAAGUAACUAUGAGAAUUAUGUGAAAUGCUAUGGAGCAAGUAUUUGAGAGAACUAUUGUUAGCUCAAGUAUAUCUAAGUAUUACUGUCGCCUUUGCGCGUAGGCUAGGCUUUAAGAUGCCAUAAGCCAAACUCUUUGACCUCGAUGUAUCCCAUAGUGUGUCCAUAGAUAGUUGCAAAUGGAAACCCCUCUUUUUGGUCAUGAUAAAAAAAAAAUGAUGUAUGCACUUAUGGUAGAGAGGGAACCGCACAUCUAAAAGAUUGGGACAAGAUUGCAUGUCCCAAGGGGUCUACAUGUAAUUCACAAUAAUUAGAAUUUGGUCAUCUAUAGUAUUUACUUUGACAAGUUGAGCAUGAACGUCUGUUAGAGAUAGUGGGUUAUAGAUCUUAUUGAAUUAGUUUAAGAAAAAUGGAUUAGGGUUAUGCAACUAGCCGAGUCGAGUGCUUAAUUGUCCGAUUCUAUUUCCUACAUGAUCUUACGUUCUUAAAAUAGUUAUAUUUGAUUGAAAAUUGAUUUAAAUUGAUGAAAUAAUCUUGAACAUGAAUUCUGGUGAUUUUUAGGAAUUUAAUGCAAUCUUAUUGGGGGGAAUUUGGGUUUAAAAAUUUUUCUUUAGGAAAUUUCAUCCUAAGGACAUAACUUCAACAUAGGGCUCAAAUGGCCAAUGGGCCCCACAUCUGACUGGCCAAUGUUGCGCCACAAGGCAAGCAUGUGGCCCACACGCAGAUGACGUUUGAUGACACUAGCCCUUGGUAGAGCGUAGAUAUGUUGUGUUUGGUUGAGCAUUUUAUUUGUAAUAUGUUUAAUUUUGUCUUUGUGACUUUCCUUUUAUUUUUAGCACGGUAUUGUAACUCACACAUAUACACAUUGGUACAUGUGGGUACCAUCUAGGCUUAGAUAUAUAUUUUUUAGUAAUUGGGUUUAUUUGAAUUUAAAAUUUUAAAAUUAAAAAGAAAAUUCCUUUUUUUUUUUGAAAAUUUAAUUUGGAUUAAAGUCGAUAAGGUGGUAAAAUCACAUUCACACAUCAUCAAAUGUAAUUAUGCGAUAUGAGGCUAGGAUUAAAGCCUCUCUCUCACAAUAGCUCACAAAGAUCAAGAUGGGUUCUACACACUCCCUAGAGAACCAUAUAAAACUUCAUUAAUCCUAAACUCUUUCUAACACUAAAUCAUUUUUCUCUAGCCCCCGCAUUGAGAUAAGAGAGGGCUAAGAGAGAGAAGAGAGAAAAGUGGAUGUUCCUCCCUUGGUGAGUCUUACAAGGCCAAGCCAUGUAGCUACAUUGAGUAUGGUGAUAUUGGUAAUCCAUAGCAACCAAAGGAAGUUAUCCUCACAUCGUUUUGAUGCAAAACAAAAUUAAAAAUAAUAGUAAUUAAAUUUUCAUAUUUUGUAAUUUUUUGAGUUUUUUUUUUUUUAGAAUUUAGUUAGGGUGUUGAAGGUAUGAAGUUACACCGAUUUAGUGUGGUUUCUGUAAAAUGGAGCUUGGGGGAGAAGAUGAUGAGGUGGAUGGUAGGUUUGAUUGUUUGGGAGCUUCUAUCAUUCAGGUGAGGAAUGACCUUUCAUCCGGCCUCCUUGCAGGGGCUGGAUUCUCUGUUGUGGGCUCCUUCUCCCUACCAGCUAAUGAUAUUUUUGGUCUGAGUGAUUGGGCUUGGAGGGGAUGGGGUUUAUCUUAUGCUCCGCUUGUUAAAAUUUUGGGAGACAACAAAAUAGCCUUUUUGCUGCUAUCAAAAGAGGAUGCUUUUGUUGCUCUUUCCAAUAGGUUUUUUAGGAUUCGGGGCAAGUUGUUUUCCUUGGAUUUAUGGAAACCUUCUACCCAUCUAUCCUAUAUGCAGAAAGAGAGUCUUUGGAUCAGCCUUUCUGGUAUCCCAUUCCAUGCUUGGACUCUGGAUACAGUCCGAAGAUUGCAAAUUGUUGUGGGGAAUUUUGCGAUGUUGAUAAUGACUCUUUUGUGGGGAUUGAUGUUAGAGUUGUUAGAGUAUGUAUAUGGAAACUCAUAGCGAUGUCUAUCCCCAAAGUUGUAAGACUGGUUGUGGGGCAAGAGUCUUUGCCAUUGGAGUCUCUUCGAUGGCUACAAAAAAGCCACGUAUGCCUAAACCUGUGACAGAGGAAGGAUGGAAGGAGGUUCAUCAUCAUUGACCUCAUGACUAUUUUUUUUUUUUUGGGCAGCUCAAUGGAAUUUUCUGCAGAAGCGUGACCACUGAAAUUUUAUGAUAGGAGUUACGAAUUUUCGAAAUUUGAAAAUUUGGAAAAGAUGGAUACCGGUUGGCCGUUCUGGGAAAUUCCGGCGUCUUAUCCGUCAAACAUUUGUGGUGGUGUGGUGGAUGUUAACCAACAUUCUGGUCGCACGGGCUCACCUUUUUCGAAAGAUCAAAAUCUAAGGAAAAAUCAGUCCGAACUGCAUGCAGUCUUUUCGGCCUAAUUAUCGGGGCUGGUUGGGAAUACCCCCCCGGAUACUUCACCGACGACGGGAUGUGAUCUGCAGGCUAAGGCAUUUCCUCUUUCCUUCUUCUCUGCGGCUGAUUCUGAGAAAGUUCUCUCUCAUAAGAUUGAAAAGGCUAGAAGCCUUUUCCUCCUUUCGGUCCUGGUGGUUGCGAGUCAAUGCAGCCUGUCUUCGGUCUUUGGUGGCCUCCCUGGUGCUUCUAUCGGUGCUCAAAAUUAUGUAUCUUCCUCAUCAUCGUCGGGUGGCUAGGCCAUAUCGAUCCAUUGCGAGUCCCACUUUUGAUCCUCUGUCGGUGGAUCCUUUAGCGAUCGUGUUGGUUGAGGAGAGCUCAGAGCCUCAGUUGCUGGAAGAAGGAGAGUUCGUCCCAAAGACUUUGAUUGUUGCAGCAGACGCUACUUCAGAGGGUAACUUACGUGAAAGACAUGCCUUGGUGCCGGUGGAUGACCAACCUCACCUAAAUGUUAUCCCUAAGGAGACCCGUUUGUUGCUGCUUCACUUUAUGGAUGACAAAUUGGUUAAUUUGGGUCAAGAUGUCAUGGUCGAAGAGAUGGUGACUGACCCGGAGUUGGACAUUAUCAGGACUAUUGUUUCUGACUGUGGUAUGGACUUCAAUGUGUCCAUUGGAGUUGUUUUUCAAGAGAUUGUUGCUAAGAAAAAGGCUGAGAAGAAAGCGAAGGUUGCUGAGUGCAAGGAGCCAUGUGAAGCUUUGGCGAAAACUCAAUCGAUAGGGGCUAAGAUGAAGAAUAAAGGCAAAGUUGUCACUAAAGGAACUAGGUCUUCAGCAAUGUUACAGGCUCGACGUGUUCUUCCUCUGAAUACGGCUACUCGUGGUGUUGUCAUCUCAGAUGACCAGGUGAUUGAUGUAAGUUUUGAUUCUUCGGGUGGUGACGGGAUGCUCGGAGCUAGCCUUGAUGAAGCAAGGAUGUUGGAAAAAGUAUUUUUUGGUGAUAGCAAGGAGGGCCCAGGUUCUUCCUCUGUUAAUCCUUGUUAAAUGAUUGUGAUUUGUUGGAAUGUUAGAGGUCUGGGUGACCUCAAACGAAAAAAGGAUGUUAAGUUUUUGGUUUCAAAAUUCAGACCUUCAGUUCGAAUUUUGCAGGAAACUAAACUUCCCUGCCCUACCUGUAUGGGGCUAGUGAAGUUUGGGGUCCAAGUUCAGUAGAUUUUGUUGGGGUGGCUUCUGUUGGAGCAUCAGGGGGUCUUUGGAUUCUUUGGGAUCCUUCUAUUCUUCGACUAUUUUUUGUACUUGAAAAAACAAACUUUUUGUUAGUUGGUUGUGUGGGGCUUUCUUCUGAUUUUAAAUGGGGUUUGAUGAAUGCUUUUGGUCCUCAAACUUUUGCUGCUAAAGAAGUUUUUGUCAAUGAGAGGUCAGAUGCUCUUAAUUCAGAUGAUUUUUUUAUUUAUUAGUGGGGGGGGGGAUUUCAAUUUUAUUAGAUGGCCGGAUGAAAGUAAUUAUGGUGGGCCGAUUACUGCUGCUAUGCGGUUAUUUAAUAGGUUUAUUGAGGCUUUUGCCUUGAUUGACCUACCAAUUUUGGGCACGGGUUUUAAUUGGACCAAUGGUAGUUCUAUAAAUCUAUCAAUGUCUAAGCUUGAUAGAUUCUUGGUUUCUGGUGAAUGGUUUGAGAACUUCUCUUAGGCUUCGGUUAAAGCUCUACCUCAACUUUCGUCAGAUCACACCUCUAUUAUGUUGUGUUCAAAAGUUAUAUCUAAGGGUCCAACACCUUUUAGAUUUGAAAUAGGUUGGCUUCAUGAGAAAAAAGUGAUAUUGUCAAUAAUACUUGGGAGAAUACUAUCUCCUUUGGAUCUCUUGAUUAUUAACUUCACAAAAAGAUUUUGAAUGUUAAACAUAAUCUGCUUGCUUGGAAAAGAGAUAAGGGCUUUAAUAUUAUAAGCAAAAUUGAGGAAGUUUUCGGUAGACUUGAGAUGUUCUGCUGUCCAAAGUUUUGGGGCUUUAUCAAAUAAGUUUAUUGUUAAAAGACACUCUUAUACUCAGGAGUUACAAGAACUUAGGAGAAUUGAGGAGGUGUAUUGGAAGCAAAGAUCCCAUGUUAGAUGGUUGAAAGAAGGGGAUCUGAAUACUAAGUUUUUCCAUGUGAUUGCCAAUGCCUGCACUCGUCAGAAUGAUAUGUUUGGUCUUGUGAUCAAGGUGUUGAUCCAGAAGAUGAUAGUGGUAUCUCUGAUGUUGUCAUUAAUCAUUUCCAAAAGGCUUUCUCCUUUAAAAUAAAAGCCACCCCCAGGUUGCAUCGGGUGGGUUUUAGAUCUCUUCUUUCUAAUCUAAUUUCUUUCUUGGAAAAAGAUGUCUCUAUGGCUGAAUUAAAAAGAGUAGUAUUCUCCUUGCCAGGUGAUAAAGGUCCUGAUACAGACAGAUAUCCUCUCAUCUUUUUUCAUACCUUUUGGCAUUUAGUUGGAUGUGAACUUUUGGAAAUGGUAAGGGGGUUUCUAAGAAGAGGGGAACUUUUCAAAGGUGUCAACUCCACUCUUAUAGCCAUUAAUCUUAAAAAGUCUGGGAUCGCCUCUCUUUGUGAUAUCAAUCCCAUUAGCCUAUUGAUUAGCCUCUAUAAAAUUGUAUCCAAAGUGCUUGCAGAGAAACUUAAAGUGGUGUUACCAUCUAUCAUUUCUGGCCCCCAGACAACAUUUAUUAACAAUAGGUUAAUCACUGACAAUGUUUUGGGUGCCCAGGAAUGUAUUCAUUCUCGUAUUAUUGACAGUUCUCCCGGAAUUGUGAUCAAGUUGGAUAUAGAAAAGCUCAAGUUGGAUAUAGAAAAAGCUUAUGAUAGAGUGGAAUGAAGUGUUCUGCUAGAGAUAAUGAAGAAUAUGGGGUUUGAGGAAAAAUGGAGGAAUUAGAUGUUUAAAGGUAGCCCUAUGGUUAUUUUAGGGCUUUGAAGGGUCUUUGCCAAGGUGACCCUCUUUCACCAUUUUUAUUCACAAUUUAUGCAGAGUGUUUUAGUUUAUUUGUUCGUAAUAUUGAUUCUAAAGGGAACUUUGCUAGUUUUCAACUUCCAAAUGGGGGACCUUGUAUAUCUCAUCUUCAAUAUGCUGAUGAUACUGUACUAGUUUGCGAUGUUGAGGAGGAACAGGUCACUAAUAUAACCACCUUUUAAAAAUGUUGUGAAGUUGCUUUAGGUCUUAAGGUGAAUUUUGGUAGGACAUCUGUGAUAGGUAUCAAUUGUGAUGAUACGAUAGUGGCUGCUUUGGUAGAGACUAUGGGCUCUAAGGUGGAUCAAUUCCCAAUAUUGUAUCUUGGUAUGCCCAUUUUUUAUCGUCUCUCUAUGGCAAUGAGGGAUAAAAUGAUUCAGUGAAUCUAACUUAAGCUCGAUCUAUGAAAAUACAAAUAUCUCUCUUUGGGGCGAGGAUUACUUUGAUUAAAGCUUGUCUAUCUAAUCUCACUAGUUAUUAAAUGUCUAUUUUGCAGAUCCCCUCUUCGGUGGCUAGAAAGAUUGAGAUGCUUAUGAGAAACUUUCUUCGAGGGACUCAAAAAAAUUCUAUCUUUUUAGAUGGGAUAGGGUAUGUACACAAAAAAGGGAAAGUGGUCCAAGGAUUAGGAAAAUUAAGUUGGUUAAUCAGACUUUACUAUGUAAAUAGUGGUGGAGUCGUCUAAAUUUUAAGGAUCAACUUUGGUACAAAGUGAUUAUCUUAAAGUAUGGCGAUGACAGAUUUAAUAUGUGGACUGAAGGUAAGUUUAGCAAUAGGAGGAUAUCACUUAUUUGGAAAUCUAUCAAUUCGUAUAAGCCUCUUAUCCAUAGAGUUAUCAGAUGGACUGUUGGUGAUGGCAGGAAUAUCUCCUUUUGGCACCAUAAGUGGUUAGAUAAUUCACUCUUAAAUUAUGUAUUCCCUAUGAUUUUCAAUAAGGUUAUUAAUCCCAAUGCCUUGAUCUCCGAUCUUUUUGAGAGGAGGGGGGAUCAGAUUGAGUAGAAGAUCAUCUUACCAUAUAAUAGAAUUCCUGAUGAACUUCUCUUGGAGUUUAGCGGCUUCCUGACUGUGCUUAAUGAGGUAUAUAUUUCCCUGAAUGCAAAAGAUGAUGAGGUGGUUUGGGACAUUUCAAGAGAUGGUCUAUGUACCAUCUUUUGUUUCAGGAUCGAUGGAUGUGGUUGACGCCCAAAAUUGUUGUUAUUUGGAAGUGGUCGAUUCUACUUAAGAUGCAAGCUUUUCUGUGGUUGGCGGUGCAAAAUAAGGUAUUAUCUACAGAUAAUCUCAUUAAAAGGGGAAAAAUCCUGCCAAAUAGAUGUUUACUUUGUAAAAGGGAUGGUGAAUUAAGAGCCCAUUGCUUUCUCCAUUGCCUUUUACUGGUAGUAUUUGCUAGUGGUUUUUUCCUAAGGUUAAAGUGGUGCUGAUUUUACCUCCAGAUGUUAUUGGAAUUAUUGGAGCCUUAUCUGUCUCGUCGCUUCCUAAAACUGGUGCGGUGAUUUGACAAAUAGCAAGAGAGGUUAUUUUAUGGGAAGUUUGAAGGAGAGGAAUAGAAGAGUUUUUUGGGGAUAAGCUCACCUUUUGAUAGAAUUUUUGAUAAAAUUCUUCAUUCUAUUUGGAUGGAUUUGUCUAUUGCAAAGGUGGGGAGAAAUAUUUUGGAAGUGGAUGUUAGAACAAAUUUAUACCAUCUUUUCCAUAUGGGUUACAUGAAGUGUAGCGAAAGAGAGAUGGACUGCUCCACCAUGAGGCAUUUUAAAAUUGAAUUUUGAUGGGAGUUCGCUGGGCAAUCCAUGUCUAGCUAGUUCUGGAGGAGUUCUGAGGGAUUGGGAAGGACGAGUUUUGUUUUCUUAUGCUGGGCAUUUGAGAGAGAAAACCGCUAACCACACUGAGUUUAUGUCUCUCAUACAUGGUUUAAAAUUUCUUGAUGCCGGUUUUUUUGGAUCAACUUGCAUUCUUGAAGGUGACUCCUUCAAUGUUUUCAAUUGGUGUAAGGCGGAGAAGAAAGUACCAUGAGAAUUGCGAUCGGUUUUGCUACAGAUUUUGGAUUUGUCCAAUUCUUUUUCUCUCUCCUUUGUCCAUGUUUACAAGGAGGUUAAUGAUUUGGCUGAUAGUUUAGCAAGAAAUGGUACCUUUCUUAUAGAGAUUUUAGUCUUUGAUUAUGUAAUUUCCUUUUAGAAUCUAAAUAAUAUUUCCUGACUUUAAUAAAAAAAAAUGGGUGUUAAGGUAUGGGCUGGAACCUGUUUUUUAGGGCCUCAGUUUUAAGAUAAGGAUAGUUUGGUAAUAUGAAAUUGGUUAGGAUAAGGUAGCCUGUGGGAUUACAAGAACCAUAAAGGAAAGUUGAAAAAAAAGGAUUUACAAAAUAUGAAGUUAGAGAGAGAGAGAGAGAUACGAAGGGAUGACAAUGGUGGUAUGGGAGUAUUAGAGAUUUGUUUGGGUGAAAUGGGGGUAGAAAAUGGUACAAUUUUAAAAAUUGAAAGCUCAAACUCUUUUUGUUUUUAGGCACACAUGAGCACUAUAUCAAGGCGAUAUUUUCCCCCCCUUUGAUAUAGAAUUUGAUGCAUAUAAGAAAGGCAAUUCAUCCUCGGGAUACAAGAAAACAAAGAUGUCUUUUUCAAUAUUCCUAAAUUAGUUUAGAGACAGAAAGAGACAAAAUGGAGUAGAGAGAGUUAGCCCACUGGUUUUUUUCAUUGGAAUUGCAGAGAAUGGUUCAUUGAGAGAGACGCCAGGGCUGUGAAAAGUAUGUAUCUCGUAUGGGAUAGACUCCCCAUUAAAUAGAGCUAUAAGGUGAUUGCUUAUUAACUAUAGUGAUGGUUACAUGCACUACCAAAAGCUACAAGUUACAUGCAACAUAAACGGUUACAAGUUACAUGCACUUUAACUCUCUUGAUAGCUGUUGUUAUAGCCUCCUUUUGCUUCCAUCUCAUCAAUGGCUAAAUAAUCGUUGGAUACCAUAUGAGUCAGGCUCACAAAAUGACAACGAACUACGAGCCCGACCAAUACUCGGGCGAGGGAUGCCUCAUGUACUGAUACAAGUGUGCAAAGUACAAAGUGUGACAUCAAACGCCCUUGCAGCCAUGCCUUCGAAUGCUUUGCGUGCUCCACACGUGCACUUUCUCUCUUUUUUGUACUUAUAGUAUAUUGCAUGGGAGUACGUGCUCUUAAAUACAACUUAACAAACUCUCUCCUCUUCAGUGUGAAACUCAAACCCACAUCUUUAUCUAUCUACAAAAGCAAUUGAAGAAAGAUUAAUAAAACCAAAGUUGUUUUGAAAUAUACUUAAGUAUUUUUCAAACAAAAAAUACUAAAAGGAAGGAUAUGUUUGUUUGUAUUAAAAGAGGUGUGACCCCUCUUUGAAAGGAGAUUAUUGGCGAUUGAAUAACGAGUUUGAUUUUGUAAUAAGAUCUUCGGUAGACUUCCUUACAGACUCAGAGAUGGUAUAAUCUCUCAAAUGUUUUUUAUUUUAUUUUUAUUUUCUAAUUAUUUUCUCCUUGCAUCAGUUGAAAUCUAAGCAGCUAAGUAUGAUCUUUAUAUGUCCAUUUCUUCAAUAGAUCCAUGCUCCUUUCAUGACUAGAUGACCCACCUUGCUAUCUAGCAUAAUCUCUUCCAUUAUGACAACUUUCUUUUUAUUUUCAUGUGUAUUUCCUGAUGAAAUUUUUUGAAACUUUUCAUCAUGAAUUAGAAGGUAUUUUGAGAUUCUAAUGAGUUUCUUAUGACGUUUGAACCUAUAUUAGUUUAGUGAGCAUGAUAUACAUUUGCUUCCCAAACCUAAGAUCCAUUUGAAAUCAUUAAAAUUGUGCUAUCUAAAGUGAGCAUUCAUGUGGUAUGUAUCUAAGUCUUGACCAUAAACUGGGCAAAUCGAGCAUAUAUUUUGUUUUCCAUUAGUAUGAGGGGAUUGUCUAGAGAAAAGCCAUUUAUCUUUUCCGUAUGGAGAUUACAAUCAUUCUUGUCCCUUAAAUUUCAAAAUGGGUGGUUAUAAGAGUAUCAUUUAACAGACACAAAGUUCCAAAAAUAAAUUCUCAGACGUUGUGACUCACCCCAAGCCAUCCAAUUUGAUAUUUAAUGAGUGUAAACGAUUGUGACAUCUAUGUAGAAAAGAUAAAUGGUCUAUUUAUAAAAAGUCCCUAUUAUAAGACUCUUAUGCUACUAUUGGGUUAAGUCUAGGUAUUUUAAGAGAUUGAAUUUGUUUUUGUUUUGUCCUUUAUGUACUUAAUGUAUCAUUUGACCAAUUUGUAUGUUAGUUGGAAAUUGUGUGUAAGUUGAAUAUGUGUUUAGUCAAUCUCCAAGUUGUGGUUUGAGCUGAACUAGUUUGUGGAUCAAAGUGGAGUGUUAUGUUACGUACUUUGAAGGUAUGUAAGGUGAAAUUAUGUUCACUUACUGUAAAUUUCUUUAAAGAGACAUUAUAUGUCCAUUUACUCAUUGUUAGUAGUCUCCUUGAGGAAAGACCCUGUAAACUCACACCUAUACUUGGACCCAGAUUUGCUGGUUGGGUUAGGUCUGGGUCAAAAGAAAAAUAAAUGUGACUGUCAAUAAAGAGACUAUAUAUCUUUUAUGCAUUGAGGUCACAAUGAUUCACUCAUUAGAUGUCAAAUUGGAUCGCUUGUGGUAAGUCAUAAAGUCGAAACAAUUUUUUUUGUGAACUGUGUCAAUUCAAUGACGCUCCUACAACCACCCAUAUUAAAAUACAAGGGACAAAAAUAUUAGAUGUCUAAUAGGUGGGGAAAGUCACGAAGUCCGAGAAUAUUUGUUUUUUAUUGUAAAUUUAAUGACACUCUUACAACCACCCAUUUUAAAAUUUAAAGGACAAAAAUGAUUGUGACCUCCAUAUACAAGAUAAAUAGUCUCUUUGUAGAUAAUCCCAAAAUAAAUUCUAUUAUAAAUAUUUUAUAUAACAUAUAAAAUAAGAAUGAGGUUUCUAUAAGACCUAGGCUUUACGAAAACAAAAUAAGGCCUCACCUCAAAUUCUCGUCUGGAAAGUACUUUCGAUGAUAGAAAUCUUUAUAAUAGCUCUAAAAUCAAUUUCCAACACUGGCAAUAAAAUUUGUAACUCAAAAAAUGGUACAGAUCUUGUAGAUAUGUGAAUAUUUUUUAUUAAAGAAAAAUAGAUAGUCUAGAUAAUUUGUUACUGUCUUUAGAGCUUCAAAUUCCUUUUUUUUUUUUUUUUUUCAGCCAUAAUGUUUAGGUUAAGAUGAUCGAUGUAAUGGUUUUCCAAUACUUGACUUGAAAUUUUCGAUGAGUUAUGAGGUGAGGAUUUAAUUAUUUUAUCGGGGUUGCAACCCUAUCAAACCAUUUUCCAUAAAACAAUGUUGCAUAUAAACAUAUAAUAUUAUACAUAAGGAAAUGUAUAUAAUGAGACCAUUUACUUUUGAUACAAGGAGGCCACAAUCAUCAUUAACCAUUGGAUUUGAAUUCAGGUGGUUAAAAAUGGGUUAUUAAUUGGACACAAUGUCAAGAUAAAAUUUCUCGAAUGUUGUGACACAUUUUCAUCAUUUCACAUUCAAUGACUAAAAAUGAUUAUGACCUCCUUUAGGCCUAAAAAUGGUUUUGAUUGGGUCUAGAUCCACAGGUUUCCAAAUUCAUAUCCGAAAAGGAUACAUGAGAUUUGAGCCCAAUCGGAUCCAGAAUAUUUAGAUCCAGAUCCAAAUUUAAAAAGUCUACAUGGGAUUUGGAUCCUGACCACAUCGGAUCGAAGAAAAUAUUUUAUAUAUUAUUUUAUAAUAUUAAAUAAUAUAUAACGAAAUAUACUAUACAUAAUAUAUUUAUAUAUAUAAUGAUAUAUAAAUAACUUCCUCUGAUCAAAUCAAAUCCACCUGUACCUGGAUCCAAAUCCGACUUAUCGGAUCCAAAUCCUUGAUCCAUACGCUGAUCCGAAUAAGAUCCAAAAUUUCGGUUUUAGAUCCAAAUUGAGCAAAUUCUCAACCCUAACCUCCUUGUACCAAAAAUAAGUGGUCUCAUAGCAUACAAUCCCUAUAUAUAAAUAUCAAUUUGUACUUAGUAGGGUCAACAUUCAUCUAGAUCCGACACAAAUAGAUAAUCUAGACCUGACCCAAGUCUGAUCCAAGUCAUAUGAACUUGAACCUAACCCACCAAGUCCAAUAUUUGGAUAGGAUCCAUGUGGGGUGUACUUAUGAUUGGGGUUGACCCGUCUUCAUGAUCGACCCGAUCCUAUUGCCGCCCCUAAAAGCACUGUAAGCUAGACAAUAAUGACCUAAAAAUGGGUCAAUAAUGAAUGACUUGAACGAAAGGUGAAUGAAAGAUACCUUGAAAACCUUUGGUCAUAGAAAAUCUAAAUUCAAGUAGGGUUUGAAAUUCGGGUUUUGGAUCCAAACUGAGUAAAUUUUUAACCCUAACCUCCUUGUACCAAAAAUAAAUGACAUCAUAGUAUAUAAUCAUUACAUAUAAAUAUCAGUUUCCCUUUAAUAGGGUCAACAUUCACCAAGAUCUGACCCAAACCGAUAAGCUAGACCUGACCCAAGUUAAAUCCAAGUCAUCUGAACUUCGAUCUAACCCACCAGGUCCAAUAUUUGGAUAGGACCCAUGUGGGGUCUACUUAUCGUUGGGUUGAUCCGUCUUCAGGGUCGACUCGAUCCUAUUGCCACUAGGGGUGAGAACGGAUACGAUCGGGGCCAGAUCCGACCAGAUUUUAAUCGAAUAGUAUACAUCGGAUCCAGGUUCAAACCUGAUCUUGGAUAUUAGGAUCCGGAUCUGGAUCCAGAUUGUAUAUAUACUAUUUUCAAAAAUUUAUAUAUAUAAACAAAAAUUUAGUAUUAAAAAACGACCGGGUUGGAUCCGGAUCGAAUCCACCUGCAUUCGGAUUGAUCUUGAUUUUAAUUUGGAUUUGAUUUUUUAUCCAGAUCCAGAUUUCAAAUCCAAAUUUGGGGUCCAUCCCUGAAUUUGAAUAGGGCCCAAAAUCGGAGUUUCAGAUCCGCAUCGGGUCAAUUCUCACCCCAAAUUGCCACCCCUAAAAGCAAUAUAAGCUAGGACAACUGUAACUUAAAAUAGUGCAAUGACUCAAUAAUGAAUGAUUGGAAGGCGAAUGAAAGAUACCUUGAAAACCUCUAGUCAUAGAAACCCACAGCUAUGUACUUUCUCAGUGUGGCCAAUGCCACUAUUUGUUGGGUUCGGCCCACAUGAGCUCCAUGAUGUGUGUGUAUUUAUAUGUUGUGUGUGUAUUUGUAUGUUGUACGUGUAUUUGUUGGUGCAAAACCCAAUAACAACUUCCGGGGAGUAUAUGGGGCAAAUUGAAGUGCUCGACAAUUUCAAAUUUAAAGAUCUGAAGUUGGGGCAAUUUGUUUAAAAAAAAAAAAAAAACCGACCAUUUUCAUAAUAUUUCAUAAUAAGUAUGAGGGUAAUAUUUCUAACUUAUAGGGGAUUGUAGUAAUAACGAUUAAUCAAAGUAUACAUAUGUAAUUUUCCCUAAUAAUAACGAUUAAUCAAAGGGUACGGAUGUAAUUUUCUCUCAAGAGAAGAAUAAUUGUUAUGUGAUGUGAAGAAUUAAAAUAGAUAGUAAAAAAAGAAAGCAAAAUUUCAAAUAAACUAUUUUAAAACUAAAGAAAACUCGUUUUUAUAUUUCAUUGAUUGCAAGGGUUAAUAUGAUCAACGUAUGAAAUUUAAAGUCCAAAAUCCAUCUCUAACAACAUGGAUUAUGAGCGAGACUGCGAGGUGCUCCAGCACUAGAAACCCGUCUACGUAAAUAAGCUUACUAAGCUCCUAUCUCCAAGGUGUGGGUCUUGAAUAUACAGGGGAAAGAUUGAAUGAAAAGUGCACAGACGCCCUCCCGAUAGCUGAGAUUUAAUCUAUAAAGAUUUGAGGGCUACAAUUUGAUUUGAUUUUUUGGUUUUUAUAUUUUUACAAAUUAUCAUAUACAAAAAUUUAAAAUCAGAUUCAUUUUUAUAAGAUGUACCCAGCAUAAAUAAAUAAAUAAAUAAAUUUAAGCAAAAAUAAUUACUAAAAUACCCUUAAACUGUUUAGGGUAAUCUAGUUAAUUUUCAUUCAAAUUAUAUUGGGCACGUUUUCUAUGUUCCUGCGGGAGUAUAUUGUGCAUCCACUCCCUUGCCCAAACACUUAUUUAUGAAGAUUCUUUAAGUCUAAAAUUUGAAAUUUUGAGUUUUGUGACCCAUAGAUUCAGCCCUUCAAAAUUUACAUGGUCUUGAUUCAAUCUUGAGAUACUAGUUUUUCCUAGCACAUAGAGAUUUAUUUGAGAAAUUUUUUGAAUUGAGAUUAGUUUAUGGGUUGUGGAGAUUACUUCCCAAAAUUUGAGAUCCAACAAAUAUCUAAAUGGUAUAUUCCCACAGGAGUCUUUUGGCUUUAAUUUUUAUAGAGGUGCAUGAUUUUUAGAUGUAUGAGGAUACCGCCAUGUGAAAAGUAUGGAAAAUGGUUUGAUAGGGCUGCAGCCCUAUCAAAACAAGUAAAGCCACCUUAUAAUUCAUCAAAAAUUACAAUUUAAAUAUUGAACAAAUUUUAAAUCAAUCAUCUCAUCUUGAACAUUAUGGUUGUGAGAAAAAUUAGGAUUUCAAUUUCUAAAAUAGUGUGUAUUGCAAUAAAUCAUCUAGACUAUCCAUUUCACCCUAAACAAAAAUGUUAACAUAUCCUCAAAAUCUGUACCAUUUUCUUGAGUUUCAAAUUUUAUUGUCGAUAUUGGAAAUCGAUUUUAGAGCCAUCAUGAAGAUUUUCGAUGCCUAAAGUGCUUUCUGAAUGAGGAUUUGAGAUGAGGCUUUAUUUUGCUUUCAUAAAGCGUAGGCCCUAUAGGAACUUCAUCUGAAAAGUAUUUGCAAUUGAAACAUAAAAAUAAAAAAAUAAAAUCAAUUUCUAAGCUUUGAAAAGCAAAUUGCAUGUGAGCCAUUAGAGGGCUUCAAGGCUCCACAUCACGAGGAUGUUUAGCCAUCCCAAGAUUCAAUUUGUAAGGCGCACAAUGUUGUGUGCGGAAGCUCUAAACCAGAUGGGUUAUUUUUGGCAAAUAAGUUACGAGUAAAAUAGAAUCAACAACAAGUAAGAAAAAUAAAGCACGAAAGAGAUAGUAUAAAAAAGAGCACUAGAUUUUACUUGAUUCAUCCUAAGAGGGCUACAUCCACAAGCACGACAAACUAAAAUCCAAUAUACCAUUGAAAGUUACAUAAAAGAUUUUGGAACGUAGAGUUACCUCUCUAAGCCUCGACAAAACCAAGUCGAGCAAACCAUUUUAAGCCACUUUCUCGCCUGACACCACAUGUCGUUCUUUCUUCUCUUUACUUCUAGCAACCAUUAUCGACAACACCAGAUGGAGACGAAAAAAACAACGAGAAACUGACUUUUUCUCUAACUAAAAAAAGAAAUCACCAAAAAUCUCCAUAAGAAUCGCUUCUCUACAAAAAAUCAGUACCUCAAUCUAAAGGAGUCUGCAGGAGACAUCAUCGUAACGUUUUUCUCCAUAAGAAUCUGUCUUCUCUUUGAAAGGAGGAAGCCCUACUUCUCAAGCACAGGAGACCUUGCCCCUCUCUCUCUCUCUAGAGAAGAAAUAAUAUUUCCCAUAUUGUGAACCAAAUAGGGCACACUUAUUCUUUCCUCUUUCAUCUCAUAUAUAUAUGGUUUGAAAUCUUAUUAAAUAGAAAACUUCAUAUAGAUGUUAGAUAUAUCUAAAAAACCAAUAGAUAUACCCAAGAGUCAUAACAUUUUUUGAAAACUUAUCAAUCUCAAUCCCACAUAAUAUGGGAUUUUUUGAUGUAAAUGACUUUGGCCAACAAUCUCCACCUUUAUAUUAAAAUCAUCCUUUAGAUAGCUUUAUAAAAUCUUCAUCUUUCAUUUCAGAGUUUUAUGUAAAUUUUGUUGCACUAGCAAAUCUCGAACAUGAUUGGCCAAAUUCCAAAACUCUUUUUUUCAUCACCUUUUUGCACCUCGAACUUCGCAUUUGAAACCUUUACUGCCAUACGGAUAACUCCAAACCAGGCUCGGAUACCACUUGUUGUGCGUUGAAGCUCUAAACCCGACGAGUUUAUUUUUGACAAAUAAAGUAUAAUAAAAAUAGAAGUACAAUAAGAAAGAAAAAAUAAAACAUGAAAGAAAUAAUAGAAAAAGAACACCACAAUUUACAAAAUUUCGUCACAUAAGUGACUACAUCCCUAGGUAAAGACGAUCGAUGUUCUCCACUAAAUCAAAGAAAUAAAAUUACAAGGCACGUACUAGAGAGAACUAGAGACACAUAACUCAAUCUUCCACCAAGUCUUAUUCUCUCUAUAAUUCUCUCUAGAAAAUCCUAAAAAGAUUACUUCUAUCUUUUUGACACUUUAUAUCUCUACAAAAUAACCCAUUAUAUAUAGGAAAAAGCAAAGGGCGAUACUGCUCUUUUGGGUUUACUUUUAUCUCUUUUCCACAUUGUUUUCAUAUCUUAAUUUGAGAGAGAGAGAGAGAGAGAGAGAGAGAGAUUUCAGUUGGAUACGAUGAUAUCCAAAAUCACCCACAUAAAGAAAUCCAAUAUUAUGAGGGAUUGCGAUUGAUAUUGAUAAGCUUCCUAAAGGAAAUAGAAAUCCAAAAAUAUUAGGACCCAUGGAUAUAUAUUUAUUGGUUUUUGAGAUAUAUGUAACUGCUAUAAGAAGUUUGCUGAUAAGUAUGGAAUCCUAAUGUCACGACGCCGUCCCCCUGACCCCUACCGUACAUACUGGAGGGCAACAGGGUGCAAAACUGUGAUCGGAGGUAGCGAAUGCCACUCAGGUGGAAGUGCGUUCAAUGCUUUUUAGAAAGUGGAAUCAAAGCAAACCACGAAAGAAAGUAAAAACCAAACACAAAGGUACAAGGAUCUGGACAAAAUUAAACCAACUUGUAUGUACAUGCUUCAAUUUUUAAUUACAAUCAUGUUCAAGGUACUAAAGGCCCAACUACAAAAUGCAAGAUUUCUCACAAAACAACUAUGUGGCCACAGCCACCAGACACCUACUAUUAAGGUAAAGCCUUCACUCGUCAAGCCCAAAACUUCAGCCACCAACCGCCAGUGCCUAGUUGCCCACUCUCAAGGACCGUAGGUUGUCACUCUACACAGAUAAAGAAAAUCAAAGGGAUGAGCUAUAAAGCCCAGUAAGCAGAUCAACAUCAUGAAUUCUGACCGACAAAACGAUAUUCAUAAACAUUGCCCAAAAAUUCAUGCAAGUGUCAAAACAUGGACUCAUGUGUCACAAUUCUUUUAGCAAUGAUGGGAGAAGUGUAAAAUCCGAUAUUAGAGUAUCAUACAUUGCAUGAGCUAACAGUUACUCCAUCAUUAGUCAUAAUAGCAAAUAAGAAUAACAGGCAACGAACCAAAUGCAUACAGGCAGUCCUAGUGUAGCAUACUCCCGAAAUAAAAGUCCCAUCGAUCAGGCUAGGCUAGUCAUGUAACUUGGAACUUCUUUUCUCAUUCAGGAGGGAAGACAAUGACAAAUGGGGGAUCUAUUUCGUAUUAUAUUCACGUGCACACACAAUCCCCAGCGCGCUUUGGGGAUAGGCUGUGGUCUUGCAAGACAUGACCAUCUCUUUAUGCCUUCCAGGUGAGAUGGAGUUACACUACCAAUGGGUGGCCCAAUGCGUAGUGCCCAUAUAGNNNNNNNNNNNNNNNNNNNNNNNNNNNNNNNNNNNNNNNNNNNNNNNNNNNNNNNNNNNNNNNNNNNNNNNNNNNNNNNNNNNNNNNNNNNNNNNNNNNNNNNNNNNNNNNNNNNNNNNNNNNNNNNNNNNNNNNNNNNNNNNNNNNNNNNNNNNNNNNNNNNNNNNNNNNNNNNNNNNNNNNNNNNNNNNNNNNNNNNGCGUAGUCGCCAUAUAGAUCGUGGGGGGGGGGGGGGGCGUCGACCCUCUCAAAUAUUCACAUUCACAUCCCGACUUCAUUCCUAUCAUUGGGGUUGAGGUAAGAUCAUAACUGCCAGCAUCUUAUCUCAUCAGAAUAAAUUGCACUACCAAUAGAUGACCUGUUGCGUAGUGCCUUAUAUCAAAAGUCUUAGAAAUCUCAUAUCAUACUACCAAUGGAUGUCCCAUUGCAUAGUAAUUCAUAUCAUAGGCUUGUCACAACAGAUUCCCACUACUGAUGGAUGUUCCAUUGUGUAGUGGUUCAUAUCACAUGCUUAUCAUAAAUGAUUCCUACUACCAAUGGAUAUCCCAUUGCGUAGUGUUUCAUAUCACAUGCUUAUCACAACAGAUUCCCACUACCAAUAGAUGGUCCAUUGCAUAGUGGUUCAUAUCAUUUUAAAUCAUAAGCAAGCACAUGCAUAACUCAAGCAUUUAUUCACUCAUGCCUAAGCAUGAGCAUUCACUAUAUCCUGAGCAUGCAUAUUCAAUACUUUAUAACAGAAAAUGUUUUUGAUCAUGAAGGCCUCUUAAAAUAUGAUCUAACUUCCCUUCCAUGGGGAUCUUAUUCACAGUCCCAAUAUUAACUUGAAAGUUAACUCAUCCCCCUUUCAUUUAGAAGGUGUUUAGCCUUAAUCAGAGACAUUUUGCUCAAAGAACAGUCUUUCAUAAAACAAGCAACAUUUCUGAAAUUUCUGCAACUGAUAAUAGUAAUAUACCCACACAAAAUGAGGCAUAACUCUCAAUUUAUGAAUAAUUUAGACAUGGUUUUAAAACCAAAUUUGAAGUAGGACACACAUUUAAAUGUGGUUUGAAGUCCUUUGGACAUCGUUUGAUUAGUCAAAAGUUCAGUAUAAAAUGAGUAACAGUUCUGUAAUUUCUGCAACUUAUGACAGUGACAAAUCCACACAAUCUAGAGCAUAUUUCCUAAUUCAUGAGGAAUUUUGUAAUGACCCAAGAUUUUCCCCAAGUAAGAGAGAAGGAAAGGAAAAGACAUACUUGGCGGGAAGAGUGAAGCAGUGCCGGUUGUGAAGAAGAGAUAGAGAGAGAGAGAGAGAGAGAGUCAGCGUCGAUGGUGAAGAGAGAUAGAGAGUCAACGCUGAUUGUGAAGAAGAGAGAGAGAGCCAACACCAGCUGUGAAGAGAGAGAGGGCCAACGUCGGCUAUGAAGAGAGAGAGAGCCAGUGUUGGCUGUGAAGAGAGAGAGCCAACAUCGGCUGUGAAGAGAGAGAGAGAGCCAGUACCGGCGGUGAAGAGAGAGAGAGCCAGCGCCGGUUGUGGAGAGAGAGAGAGAGAAGUGCAACGCCGUGUGUAGCACUACCAUGCAUGGUCAUUGUUUGCCACCUAUCAACUUUAAGCUGCCACCUACCACUUGAGGGAGUAUUUAAGCCCUCUCCCUCUCCUUCACGCAGUUUCCACUCACACUCUCUUAUUUUUUCUUUCUCACUAAAGCUAACUCUCAAGUCCCUUACCCAUUGUUACCCCAUUACUACCCACCAAGGGAAGCUUUAGGAUUCUGUGCAAGAAGGGGUUAGGAGCACCAUUUUCUCAUCAAGUAAGUGGAUAUAGAUGCUGUGUAUCAUUGUCUUAUUCAAGCAUGAAGUGUAGAUUAGUAGAAUGUAGAAAUAUGUGUGUGACUGUGAAGUCUUGGAAUUUAAGUACUUGAAUCCAUGACUAUUUAGUCUAUAAAAAUGGUGAAAAUGUUUACAAAAUCCUCCUGUGAAUCUAGUUUAAGUGAAGUAAGUUUUGAUCGAAUACUAAACUAUAACUUGAAAGAUAUUGUUAUGCUUGUGUAUGUAGUAAAAAUGGGAGAAAGGAAUAAAGAAAUGAAAUUUCUAGGAACUGUGGGUGUCUUUGUAUCAAAUAUUUAGUGACCAAACAGUGUCCAAAUGGGCUCAAAUUGGUCUUGAAUGAAAGAUAUGUUUGUCCACUACAAUUUUUCUUCUUGUAUAAUCUUGAAAUUCUUCAUAUUUUAGGAUUUACAAUCUAAAAUAUAUGACUAUGUCACUAUUAAUAGACAACAGAAAUUCCAGCCACUGUCAUAUACUUUAUACCAAACUUUUGACCAACCAAUCAGUAUCCAAAUACCUCCAAAUCACCGCCAUUUGAACUGUAUAGGUGUCUACUACAAUGUUUAUGUUUAAAUCUUGUUGAAAUUCUUCACGAAUGAGAAGCUAUACUCCAAAAUAUGCUUACAUGUCACUGUUACCAGAUGCUGUGAAGAUUCAGAACUAUCACCUUACAGUGUCAUGAGUUUUGAUUAAUCAAAUGAAGUUCAAUUGUUUCCAAACUACCACUAUUGGAAAGGUCUAUGUGAAUACUUAAAGUUUCAUGUUAAAGAUUUUCUCGAAAAGCUCCCUAGAUUGAGAGUUAUACCCUUUUUAAGGGGAGUAUGUCACUGAUGGCAAAACUUCCCAGAAAUUGUACUUGCUAAGUGUUAAUGUUCUUUAGUGAGUGCCAUGUGAUAUUCAACUAAUGAAUGUGAAUGCUACAUGAUGAGUACCAUGUAAUAUUCAGGUGAUGAAUGUGAAUCCUAUAUAAUGAUUGCCAUGUGAUAUUUAUGUGAUAAGGGUUUUAUGACUAGUGCCACGUGACAAGUGAUAAGUGGUAAGUGCCUAGUGAUAUGUGAUUUAUAGGCAUGCUUUAAGCAUGACCCUUCGAUAAUGAUAAGGUGGUAUAAGUGACACUAUGUACGAGUAGUCCAUGGUAGUGUGAUGGGAUCUAAUACGAAAUUGAUUGCCGACAGUGUUUUCUAAAUCUCUACGAUAGGAGGGGAGUUAGGAUGAGUGUGAAAUGGGAGGGUUGCACCCCCCGAACAAUAUAUGUGAUGCAGAAAGAAAAUAGUGAAUCAUGUCUUGCAAGGCAAGUGCCUAUCUGAAGCCCCAAAGUGUACUGGGGGCUACAUGUGUGAGUGUGAGGGCAGUACCAAAUGAGACACUCAUUGUCAUUGCCCUCUCUCCCGAGUGAUGUUAGAAGUCCUAAACAAUGGGAUUGACAUGACCUGAUGAAUAGGGCUUCUACUUCGGGAAUAGGUGAAUCUAAGGAGUGAGUGGUUAAUGAUUGGAUGUAUGAAUAUGAAUGAUGAUAGUUAUGCUGAUUAUAUGAUAGCCAUGAUAUUCGAUAUGCCAUCCAUGAUGAAUGUAUUUAUAAGAUUGCUAAAUUGAAUAUUUUUCCACCAUGAUUGCUUAUAGCCAAAAGAAUUAUUCAUGAUGCCUGGAUGGAUAUAUCAUUGAUGUAUAGCAACUAGUUCAUCUUACUAGGCUUUAUAACUCAUUCCUCUUUUUCCAUCCCUGUAGAGUAGAAGCUUUAGGUCAAGAACAACUGGUGGGAUCAUCGAUCUGGUCAAUGAAGGCUUGUAUCUUUUGUUUUUAUGUAUUUUGCGGUUGUGGGCCAUGUUUUUGUCGCUUUUGAAGUAAGAUGUUGUGUACCAGGCCAUCGGUGCCUUGAACAAUUGUAUUACUGAAAGUUGUUUAUGUAAUAAUAUAAGUUUCAGUUUUAUUUUACCCAGUCUCUUGUAUGGUUGUGUUUAGAUUGUUUUCUUUAUUUUUGUGGUUUUCUUUAAUUACCUUUUCUCUAAAACGAUGAGCGCACUCCGACCUGAGUGGCAUUCGUUACCUCUAUGAUCACGGUCCCUCAUCCUGUCGCCCUCUGAUGUGCCGUGUAGGGGCCAUGGAGUGGGGUCGUGAAAAAUUUCAAGAUAGUUUCAAAACAAAAUUUGAAGUUGAUACACAUAUCCUUUAUUUAAAAUUACUUUGAAGUCAUUUGAAUACCGUUUGAUCAGUCAAACGUUCAGUACAAAAUGAGUAACACUUCUGUAAUUUCUGCAACUUAUGACAGCGACAUGUCCACACACUCUGGGGCGUAAUUCCUAAUCAAUGAGGAAUUUCAAGAUAGUUUCCAAACAAAAUUUGAAUUAGAGACAUAUAUAUUUUAUUUAAAAGUAGUUUGAAGUCAUUUGGACACCGUUUGAUUAGUCAAAAGUUCAGCACAAAAUGAGUGACAGGUCUGUAAUUUCUGCAACUUAUGACAGUGACAUGUCCACACAUACGAGGGCAUAAUUCCUAGUCCAUGAAAAAUUUCAAGAUAGUUUCAAUUCAAAAUUUGAAAUAUACAUACAUAUAUUUCAUUUAAAAUUGGUUUGAAGUCAUUUGGACACUGUUUGAUCAGUCAAACGUACAGUACAAAAUGAGUGACAGUUCUGUAAUUUCUGCAACUUAUGACAGUGACAUGUCCACACAAUAUGGGGCACAAUUCCUAAUCCAUCAGAAAUUUCAAGAUAGUUUCUAAACCAAAUUUUAAUUAGACACGUCCAUUUUUUAAAUAAAGGAAGUUUGAAGUCAUUUGGACACUGUUUGAUCAAUGAAAAGUUCAUUUAAAAAACGUAUAGAGUUCUUGGAAUUCACAACAAAGCUUUGACAUACAUUAUCGAAUGAUCAAAAACUCCCAAACCAAAAUGGGUAUUAACUUAAGACCUUUUUCAUCUUAAAUUAGAUUCACAUGAGUACUAUUCCACAAAUUUUCAUAACCAUCAAAAGUACUUUCAAAGUUCAACUUAUCAUGCAAAUGAGAGCCUUAAACCUGAAAAAGCAGAGCCCAAAUAAGUACAAGUUUACUAACAGGCAGCCACAUCCCCAUGCUCAUACUGUUCUUAAAUCAAAACUAAGGAGACAUGAGUGUAAGAUCCACUUACCUGUGAUCAAAUGUGUCCCCAAAAUUCCCCAUGCAAGUCAAGCCCCAAGCUUUCCAUUAAUGGCUUUUAAAAGGGGUGGAAGCUCUAAGUGUUGAGAGUGGGUUUCCAAGAGUGGAAGAGAAAAACAAAAGCUUGAGAGAGGAGAGACGGGGCUUAAGUAGCUCAAUAGUGGGAGGUUGCAGCCCGAAAUUGUCAAGUGGCAUUCCCAUCCUCAUGCAAAUGGACAAGUGGCAUGUGUGACAACAUGCAGAGGACAAAUAGCUCAUAUGGGGUAUGCAUGGGCAUAACAUUACACUCACGACGACUGCUCCUCUUCACACACAACGAUUGAUGCUCGAUGCUAACAUUGACGGCAGCUAACACUGAUGGUGGCUGCCACUCAUGGUGGCAGCUCCUCUUCACACAUGGCGGUUGAUGCUCAAUGCUGACACUCACGGCAACUGACACUCACGGUGGUUGAUGCUCAAUGCUGACACUCACGGCGGCUGACACUCAAGGCGGCUGACACUCAAGGUGGCUGACACUCACAACGGCUGCUCUUCUCUCUUCUCCCUCUUACUGUCGUGCGAGUUCUCUUCACUGCCGCGCGUGUCUCCAAGCCCGAAAAUCUGGGUCGUUAACUUCCCCCCCCCCUUAAAAGAUAUUUUAUCCUCAAAAUCACAUCUCCGUUAAUCAAACAAAUGGGGGCACUUAUCCCUGAUCCCAUCUUCUCGCUCUCAGAUCGACUCCUCCCGAGAAUGGUACUACCACAACACUCGGACCAGAGGGAUCUCCUUGUUACACAACACAUAUACCCUUCUAUCCAGUAUCUCAAUUGGCCGCUCAAUGAAAGUCAGAUCUUUUCUGAUCAGAAUUGGCUUAUAAUUCAGAAUAUGUGAUGGGGUUGAUACUUCGUCAAUAGAGAUAUAUGGAAGACAUUGUGGACGUUUGCCAACCCUGGUGGUUGGGGAAGUCGAUACGCCACACUUCCAACUUUUUUCAGGAUCUCAAAAGGUCCAAUAUAAUGGGGGCUCAAAUUUCCUUUCUUAUCGAACCUGAUAAUGCCCUUAGUUUGAGAUACUUUCAAGAAAACCUGAUCCCCCACCUCAAACUCGAGGUCUAUUAUUCGGUUAUCGACAUAACUCUUCUGUCGAGUCUAAGCUAUCUUGAGCCUCUCUUGACUCGAAGAAAUCUUUUCUGAGGUUACUUCAACAAUUUCGAGGCUUAAGAGCUUUCUUUCACCAAUCUCAUUCCAACAAAUGGGUGACCUGCACUUCCUCCUAUACAGGGCUCAAAAGGGACCAUCUAGCUUGGAAGCUGUUUUUAUAGGCGAAUUCAAUCAGAGGUAGAUGAUCAUCCCAGUCCCCUUAAAAUCAAAGACAUGUGCCCUUAACAUAUCUUUCAGGGUCUGAAUGGUUCUCUCUGAUUGUCUAUCAGUCUGGGGGUGAAAGGCAGUGCUAAAAGUAAGUCUCGUCCCCAAGGCUGACUACAGACUAGCCCAAAAUCUAGAGGUGAAUCUAGUGUCCCGGUCGGACACGAUAUUGACUGGUAUUCCGUGCAGCCUUACUAUCUCCCUGAUGUAUAACUAGGAUAGUUUAUCCAAGGUAUAGGUCAUGCGGAUCGGCAAGAAAUGAGCAGCUUUGGUCAGCUAGUCCACAACGACUUAAAUACUAUUAUGUCCAGAAUUUGUCCUUGACAAACCAGAGACAAAGUCCAUAGCAAUGUGCUCCCAUUUCCAUUCUGGCAUGGGCAAGGGUUGCAGCAAUCCGACAGGCUUCUGAUGCUCAGCCUUCACUUGCUGGAAUGUGAAGCACCUAGAAACAAACACUGUUAUUUCUCCUUCAUGUCAAUCCACCAGAAGGUUCUCUUUAGAUCUUGAUACAUUUUGUGCUCUCUAGGUGCACAACAUAACGAGAAUGGUGCCGUUCUUCUAAAAUAGCCUUCUUCACAUCUUCGUCAUUAAGAACACAGACCUGAUCCCUGAAUCUUAACAAGUCAUCACCACUUACAGAGAAAUCAUCUUUUCUUUCCGGUUUUAUUUCUUCCAAAAUUUUCAUGAGCUGGAUAUCCUUCUUUUGUGCCAUUCGGAUCUGUUGAAAGAUUUGGGGCUCCAUCCUUAUGCAAGCGGCCAUACUUACCUCAUCACCAAGGGGAAGAGCUGAGUGCCAUUCCACCGCAUCUUCUAACAAUCUUAUCUCUCGAAUCAUUAAAUGUGUCACUGAUCCCAUGGGCUUCCUGCUCAGAGCAUCUGCUACUACAUUAGUCUUGCUUGGGUAGUAAUUGGUGGUACAAUCAUAAUCGUUCAAUAGAUCCAUCCAUCUCUUUUGCCACAUGUUCAACUCCUUCUGGGAAAACAGGUAUUUUAGGCUCUUAUCAUCAGUAAAUACCUUAAAUUGGGCUCCAUAGAGGUAGUAUCUUUAGAUUUUCAAGGCGAAUACUACAGCCGUAAGCUCCAAUUCAUGAGUUAGAUAAUUUUGCUCAUAUAUCUUUAACUGUCUGAAGGCAUAAGCAAUAACCUUUCCUCUCUGUAUAAGCACACACCCGAGCCCUUUAUGAGAAUCAUCGGUGUAGACCACAAAGUCCUCAUUUCCUUCGGGCAAGGUUAGUAUCGGAGCCAUAGUCAGUUUCUUCUUUAGUUCUUGAAAACUUUUCUCGCAAUCAUCUGACCACACAAACCUUACCUCAUUCUGGGUUAAGUGAGUAAGGGGAAAUGCUUUGAAAAUCCUUCUAAAAAGCGUCUAUAAUAACCUUCUAAUCCAAGAAAACUGCGGACCUUUGUCACAUUCGUUUGUCUUCCCCACUUAAGUACAACUUCAAUCUUACAAGGGUUAACCUCGACUCCAUCCUUAAAAACAAUGUGCCCCAGGAAGGCCACGCUAGGAAGCCAAAACUCACUCUUGCUAAACUUAGCAUACAACAUUUUUGAAUUCAGAGUCUGAAGGACCAUUCUUAGAUGUUGAUCAUGCUCUUCUAGGUUCUUCGAAUACACCAAAAUAUCAUCUAUAAAUACCACAACAAAAGUAUCUAGAAAGGGUCUGAAAUUAUAUUCAUCAGGUCCAUGAAAACAGUUGUGGCAUUAGUCAACCCAAACGGCAUUGCUAUAAACUCGUACUGGCCAUAUCGGGUUUUGAAUGCACUCUUGGGAACAUCUCCCUCCUUGACUCGCAGUUGGUGAUAGCCCGAUCGGAGAUCAAUCUUAGAGAAUACUUGGGCCCCUUGAAGCUGGUCAAAGAGGUCGUCAAUCAUAGGCAGGGGGUAUGUGUUCUUUACUGUGACUUGAUUCAACUGCCAAUAGUCUAUACACAGUUUCAUGGACCCAUCUUUCUUCUUCACAAACAAGACAGGUGCACCCCAAGGUGAUACACUGGGUCGGAUGAACCCCUUUUCCAACAAUUCAUGCAAUUGCUUUCUCAGCUCCUUUAAUUCGGCUGGGGCCAUCCUAUAAGGGGCUUUGGAGAUGGGAGUAGUACUAGGGACCAUAUCUAUCUCAAAUUCUAUCUUCCUUACUGGGGGCAAAGAGGUAAACUCAUCAGGAAAAACUUUUUAGUACUCUCUUACCACUGGUAUCUCCUCUAACUUAGACUGGACAUCCCGAUUUUCUACUAUGUAGGCUAAGUACCCAACAUAUCUUUUAGCCAGAAGACGGGAAGCCUGAAGGGAAGAGAUAAGUUGUAGAGGGGAAGCUCCCUUAAUACCAACAAAAAGCAACUCAUGCUGGUUUGGGUGUCUAAAGGUCACAGUUUUAUUGUAACAAUUUACUAUAGCAAGAUGUGUGGACAACUAGUCCAUGCCCAAGAUACUUAGGAUUAAUAUUCAAAAGUAUCAAAUCUAUAGGUAGAACACACUCUUAAAGCAAAACCCCACAUUGUUUAUAAACCAUAUCAGUCUCUAUAGAUUCCCCCAUAGGCGUGCAUACUACCAAUGUUGUCAAGAAGUGAAGGUCUAGCAUUUAUGUGGCAUGCAAAGUGAGGUGCAACAAAAGAAUGAGAAGAUUCAGGGUCAAUCAAAAUUCUAGCUUCCAUACCACAAACAGAGAGCUUACCUCGGAUUACAGAGGUAAACGCCUUGGCUUCCUACUCCAUGAGUGCAAACACCCGACCUUGCGUCCUUGGUCUGUUCUCUGACCCCUUUGCCAGGCAGUCCUUGAUCAGGUGGCCAUGCUUGCCACAUCGGAAACAUGACCCCGCCUUUUUAUAGCACUCGGCCCCAGAAUGGCCGCUUAACCCACAGUAAGAGCAGGCCAGACGCCGAUUAUCCCUUGUAUCACUCGGGAAGGCCUUUUGAAUCUUUGCAUUUCCCAGAUUGUUCCUUCCCUUAAACUCCCUCCUGGGAGGUGGUCGAGCCUUUCUCUUAAAAUUCCAGAUGGCAUGGCCCCACUCUUCCUUCCUUCCUCAACCGGGCUUCUUCAUAAUCCCUCUCGAUCUUCAUAGCAAAGUCCACUAAGGGAGAGAAGGUCUUCAGGUUAGCUGAAAUUACCCUUCCCCUUAGGUUUUGCCUGAGGGCCCUCUCGAACUUGUUCGCCUUUCGUGCCUCUUUUUAAUGAUGUGUGGCGCGUAAUGGGAGAGCUCCGCAAAUUUUGCUGCAUACUGUUCCACUGAUAAUCUCCCUUGCUGCAGCUCAAUGAAUUCCACUUCUUUUCUCUCUCUGAUCGAAUUCGAGAAAUAUUUAUCUUUAAAAGCUUCUAAGAAAUUCUCCUAAGUCGCCAUGGUCCCAAAUCCUUCCCAUGAUUGCUUCACUGAACCCGACCAAUGCUCAACAUCCCCUUCCAAAAUGAAGGUCCCCAGUCUAACCUUUUGUUCAUGUGAGCAAUGCAAUACCUCAAAUAUCUUUUCCACUAGCCAUCUCCAUCUCUCAGCUUUCUCCACUCCCCCAUGCCCCAAGAACACUGGAGUUUCUACCCUCCUGAAUCUCUAUAUUAGACAACUAUCAGUUUGGUCUGGGGCAGAGGUAGACGGGGCCGGCAUAGAAUCUUUCACCAUCUGAGUCAUGGCCCCAAAAGUCUUGAAGAAUUCUCUUAAAGCUUCGGUGUUCUCAUUACUCAAACUCGCAUUGUUAGCACGAGCCCUUGUCAUCUUGACCUAAAACAUGAACACCAAGAUACUAGCUUAUCCACAAGAACUACCCUAAGGACACUUCUAAGACUCUAUAGGCCAAGAAUCAUAUCUUGGCUGCUCUGAUCCCAUAACUGUCACAACUCCGCCCCCUGACUCCAAUCGUACAUAUUGGAGGGAAAAAGGUGUGGAACUACGAUUGGACGUAGCGAAUGACACUCAUGUGGGAGUGCGCUCAACGCUUUUUAGAAGGCAGAAUCAAAGAAAACCACGAAAGAAAUAAAAAACCAAACACAAAGGUACAAGGAUCUGGACAAAAUAAAAUCAACUUAUAUAUAUAGGCUUCAAAUUUUAAUUUCAAUCACAUUCGAGGCACUACAGGCCCAACAACAAAAUAUAAGAUUUCUCACAAAACAACUAUGUGGCCACAACAACCAGACACCUACUAUUAAGGUAAAGCUUUCUCUCGUCAAGCCCAAAACUUCAGCCAACAACCACCAGUGCCCAGCUGCUCUCUCUCAAGGACCGUAGGUUGUCACUCUACAUAGAGAAAGAAAAUAAAAGGGAUGAUCUAUAUAGCCUAGUAAGCGGAUCAACAUCAUGCAUUCCGACCGACAAAAUGAUAUUCAUAAACAUUACCCAAAAAUUCAAGCAGGUGUCAGAACAUGGACUCAUGUGUCACAAUUCUUUCAGAAAUGGUGUGCGAACCAUAAAAUCAGAUAUUAGAAUAUCAUAUAUCGCAUGAGCUAACAGUUACUCCAUCAUUAGUCAUAAUAGUAGAUCAGAAUAACAUGCAAUUUACUUAGUGUGUACAGGCAAUCAUAGUGUUGCCUACUUCAGAAGUAGAAAUCCCAUCGAUCAGGCUAGGCUAGUCCUAUAACUUGGAACUUCUACUCUCAUUCAAGAGGGAAGACAAUGACAAAUGGGGAACCCAUUUCAUAAUUUCUUCACGUACACACACAAUCUUCAGCGCACUUUGGAUCUUUCAAUAGGCUGUGGUCAUGCAAGACACGACCCUAUCCUUACGCCUUCUAGGCAAGAGGGCGUUGCACUAUCAAUGGGUGACCCAAUACGCAAUGCCCAUAUCGAUCUAGGGGGGCACGAGCCUCCCAAAUAUUCACAUUCACAUCUUGACUCCAUUCCUAUCAUUGGGGUGGGGUAGGAUCAUAACUGUCGGCAUCUUAUCUCAUCAGAACUGAUUACACUACCAAUGGAUAACCUGUUGUGUAGUGCCUUAUAUCAAAAGUCUCAGAAAUCUCAUAUCAUACUACCAAUGGAUGUCCCAUUGUGUAGCAAUUCAUAUCGUAGGCUUAUUACGAAAAAUUCCCACUAUUGAUGGAUGUCCCAUUGCGUAGUGGUUCAUAUCACAGGCUUAUCACAACAGAUUCCCACUACCAAUAGAUGUCCCAUUGGGUAGAGGUUCAUAUCACAGGCUUAUCACAACAGAGUCCCACUACCAAUGGAUGUCCCAUUGCAUACUGGUUCGUAUCAUUUCAAAUCAUAACCAUGCACAUGUAUAACUCAAGCAUUAAUUCAUUCAUGCCCAAGCAUGUCAAAUCACAAUUUUUCAAGAGUUCAUAAGCAUUCACUAUAUCAUAAGCAUGCAUAUUCAAUACUUCAUAACAUAACAUAAUUUUCAUCAUGACAGCCUCUUAAAAUACGACCUAACUUCCCUUCCAUGGGGAUCUUAGUCACAGUCCCAAAAGUAACUUGAACAAAAACUCAUCCACCUUUCAUUUAGAAGGGUUUUGCCCUUAAUCAGAGAUAUAUUGGUCAUAUACCAGUCUUUCAUAAAACAAGCAAUAUUUCUGAAAUUUUUGCAACUGAUAACAGUGAUAUACCCACACAAAUAGAGGCAUAAGUCUCAAUUUAUGAGGAAUUCAUAGAUAGUUUCCAAACUAUAUUUGAAGUAGACAUACAUAUAUUUCAUUUAAAAUGGUUUGAAGUAAUUUGGAUACCGUUUAGUCAGUCAAAGGUUUAGUGCAAAAUGAGUAACUGUUCUGCAAUUUCGGCAACUUAUGAUAGUGAUAUGUCCACACAUUUUGGAACAUAGUUCCUAAUCCAAGAGGAAUUUAAAGAUAGUUUCAAAACCAAAUUUGAAUUAGACACACAUAUAUUUAAUUUAAAAGAAUUUUGAAGUUAUUUAGAUACUGUUUGAUUAGUCAAAAGUUCAGUACAAAAUAAGUGACAGUUCUGCAAUUUCAGUAAGAUAGUGACAUGUUCACACAUUCUGAGGCAUAAUUCCUAAUCCAUUAGGAAUUGAAAGAUAGUUUCAAAGAAAAAUUGACAUAGACGCACAUAUAUUUAAUUUAAAAUUAGUUUAAAGUCAUUUGGAUACCGUUUGAUCAGGCAAACGUUCAGUACAAAAUGAGUGACAGUUCUGUAAUUUCUGCAACUUAUGACAGUGACAUGUCCACACAAUCUGGGGCAUAAUUCCUAAUCCAUGAGGAAUUUAAAGAUAGUUUCAGGCCAAAUUUGAAUUAGACACAUAUAAAUUUCAUUUAAAAGUAGUUUAAAGUCAUUUGGACACCGUUUGGUCAGCAAAAGCUUAGUACAAAAUGAGUUUUAAUUUCUGCAACUUAUGAUAGUGACAUGUCCACACAUUCUGGGGCAUAAUUCCUAAUUCAUGAAGAAUUUCAAGAUAGUUUCAAAACCAAAGUUGAAGUAUACACAUUCAUAUUUCAAAUAAAGGCAGUUUGAAGUUAUUUGGAUACCUUUUGAUCGAUAAAUAGUUCAUUUCAAAAACGUGUAAAGUUCCUAGAAUUUCACAAUAAAGCCGUGGCAUACAUUAUAGAAUGAUAAAAAACUCCCAAAUGAGAAUGGGUAUUAACUUAAGACCUUUUUCAUCUUAAAUUAGAUGCACCUGAGUGCUAUUCCCCUCUUUUCAUAACCAACAAAAGUAUUUUCAGUGCUCAACUUAUCAUGCAAAUGAGAGCCUUAAACCUGGAAAAACAGCCCAAACACGUACAAGUUUACUAAUUUGCAGCCACAUCCCCAUGCUCGUACUGUUCUUAAAUCAAAACUAAGGAGACAUGAGUGUAAGAUCCAUUUACCUGUGAUCAAAUGUGUCCCCAAAAUUCCCUACGCAGUUCAAGCCCCAAGCUUUCUAUUAAAGGCUUUUCAAAGGGUGGAAGCUCUAAGUGUUGAGAGUGGGUUUCCAAGAGUGGGUGAGAAAAACAAAAUCUUGGGAGAGGAGAGGCAGGGCUUAAGUAGCUCAAGAGAAGGAGGUGGCAGCCUGAAAUUGCCAGGUGUCACUCCCAUCCUCAUGCAAAUGGACAAUUGGCGUGUGUGAUGGCAUGCAUAGGACAAAUGGCUCCUAUGGGGCAUGCAUGGGCUUAACAUUACACACACAAUGGCUAGCCAAAAUACUCAUUGCGGCUACUCCUCUUCACACAACAGUUGAUGCUCGAUGCUGACACUCACAGCAGCUGACACUCAUGGUGGCUGCUCCUCUUCACACACGGCAAUUGAUGCUUGAUGCUGACACUCACAGCGACUGCAAUCACGACAGUCGCUCUUCUUCACACACAGCGGUUGAUGCUCAAUGCUAACACUCACGGCAGCUAACACUCAAGACGGUUGACACUCAAGGCAGCUGAAACGCACGACGGUUGCUCUUCUCUCUUCUCCCUCUUACUAUCGUGUGCAUUCUCGUCACUGCCACGUGUGUCUCCAAGCUCAAAAAAUCUGGGUCGUUACACCUAACCUUAUAUAUAGGGGAUGAAAGAGCGGAGAAUUUGUGUGCCCUAUUUGGAUCAACAUAUGGGAAAGGUGGCUUCCUCUUGGGAGAGAAGGGAAAAGGUGUUUGUAGUCAUUUUCCAUCACUUGUAUACUUGGUAUGAAUAAAGAGAGAGCAGUUCGUGGCUUAGGUCCGCAGGUACCAAAGUGCCUGUAGACUACGAAAGCCGUAGGACAAUAAGCCUUGAUCUGGAAGUGGAAUUUUUAUCAGUCUCAAAAUGGAUUGAGAACAUGUAAGAACGUGGCUAAGGGUCUUUGAAGAACACCUACCAAGUUUUGUUGCAAUCCGACAAUAUUAAGGCAGUGCAGACAACAAAACAGUUUCAGGAAAUCUUGCUUCUUUCAUGCUGAAAAUGGGCUUUGAAGUACAAAACUAUUAUUGGAGCGUUAAAUGGUCUCCAGACCAUCGCCAUUGGAUCCACAAUAGUCGAAAACCUUUAGGUAUCAAUAUUCAGCCCUUUUGGACUUCUGAAGCAAGUUACGGCCAAAUUACCCAAAAUGGGUAGGCCGUACACUAUUACAGUGCACCCUCAGUCAACCAGUUUCCAUUAAUGGAAACUGUGCAUCACCCUUUUCAGAGAAACCGUCACAAGGUCAUAUAUUCUUCAUCCCGAGACAGAUCGAGCCAAAAUUUUGGGAGAACGUUCGUCUCGUAGACCCGGUCGAUUUGAUAUAUGGCACCCACGGUGACAUGACCCUAGCCGGGAGAAAUCAAAGAGAGAAGGUCGCCAGAAAAACCCAAAAGUUGUAGGAAAAUUCCAGCCACACGUCCCUCCGAUCAUUCUCCUACAUCACAGUGCUCGCCCAUCGAAUCGACCCCAAACCAGACCCAUUACUAGCACGAGGUAAGAGGCUUCAUCUGAGCUGAACUUUGCAUGUGAUGGACGGUCAGAUUCACACACGAUGAAUCCGAAGUUGCUGCAAUUCCGGCCACCGGAAUCCAAAUUCCGGCCAAAGUUUUCCAAUUUGGAAAAUAAUAAUCCGAGCAUCAAAUCGAAUCGUUCUUUUGCAGAACGAUCAUGGCGACUUGCUCGUUACACUACAGUGAAGAAAUCAACAGAAAACACUAAGAAACAGGCUGAACCUUAAAAUUAAGAUUUCACUUUUUUUCAUGUUUUUGCCACAUCAUGAUCAUGGUUCACAACUCAGAUCCAUGGCCCAAAAUUGGUACCAAAAUGAUCGUCUUCUCGAGCUCAUCAAGAAAACAGUAAUCUUCAGCCGGAUGGUGACUGGAAAAGCCCUGAAUCAGCCAUAGAAAGUUCGCACGAUUGAACGACCAUUACAGAGAUUGAUUUGGAAUUAAUCAGAUUGUUCGUGAGGGGGAAAAAUUGUCAUUUUACCCAUUUUCUUAGAUUUUCUUUAAUUCUUUUAAUGCCUAAUUAUUGCUUGAGGCCACCCGAAAGCCGCCCCUUCUUCUCCUGCGACUGGCCGGUCAUCUGCCAUUGCUCCAACGGGUCACCGCGAGGUUACCCCCCAUCCUCUAUCACCUUGGGACCCUAUAACAAGAGGCUCGACACCAGGAGGUGGCGGCUCUAAAGCCACCACCUCACACACACCCACUAAAUCUAGUGGAACAUCCAUACUAGCUACACCUCGGGGAAACCCUCAGGUUACCUUAGGACAUAGUCAGGGUUCGGAUCUUCUUGAACCUAGCCCUGCACAUAUUUUGCAUGCACACCGCACCACACAGGGCAACCUUCAGGUUACCUUGGGAUACUGUCAGGGUUCGAGUCUUCUUGAACUUGGCCCUAUACAUCCUAUGCAUUGCAACACUCGGUGCAACUCUAAGGUUACCUUUGGGUAUGGUCAGGGUUCGGCUCUUCUUGGAUCUGGCCUUGCGCACUCCUUGCGUAUGCACUACAUAGCUCGGGGCAGCCUUGCUGCUGCGUCGUCUCGAGCACACGAGGAGGAACCUCCUAGUCCCCUCUCCCAGCACAUGCCUGCUCACUCUGUGAGGGAUGGUCAUACGGCCAUUCCAUCGCACACACAUGCUCACGACAGUAAGGCUCUUACGGCCGGACAUGCUACUCGAGCUAGGGUUGACCCCAAAGUCACCCGUAGUCCUUCUUCAAGGGGCGCACACAUGCCAAUCCCUCCACCCUCCCUUAGCACACCUUUGCACUGUGCACACAUGCACAGAUCCAAAACUUCCUUUACUCUGAGGGCAAAGAAAAGAACAUCAUUGAAGACUUUUCUUUCGGAGAUGAGAGCCUCUUCUCCCCCCUAACUCCCCUUGAUGCGGAUGAUGCUGGAAAGGCAUGGCAUGAGGUGAACACUAAAAAGGCUACUCGGGGUAGGAUGAAGCUAGUUAUCUAUGGAGAUCCAAGUCCCACCCGGGGCAAAGACCAGCCUACGAACAGGGCAAAGAGCUAGUUUGACCCCAGUGACCCCAUCAAUCUUGAGUCAAUUGCGCCAUCACCCGAUCAAACACCAAAACCCAUUUCACGUCAGGACAUUAAGAGCAAUGGUUUCUUUGAGUAGACUGAGCUCGGGGCAGCUCGUGGGCCUGAAUCACAUUCCCCUAGACUCCUGUUGAGCUGGAAGGCACCACUACGGGGCAGUCCCGGUGCCUCAAGUACGAUGGAAGCCAAACCCACCGACUGCACUGUCCAUGACCCCUUUAUCGUGGAGAGUUUGAUCUGUGGAGAGAAAGGUCCCCUUCCCAUAAUGCAAAAGAAUGAUCUACUAUGUCCCCCCAAAGUCUGCCUCGACAUCUCGGCUCCCAAGGAUGUAGCUGAAAAUUGAGCCGCUUCAAGGGUUUGAGAAAUUCAUUGACGACGUUGACCUUUUGAACAAGAAGGGGACUUUGCCACUAUCCACUUUCCUUCUGUCUUUGCAUAGAUUCAUCAUAUAAUCUUGGAGACGUGAUGGACAAUCAUCUGCUCUCGUUGGUUCAAAUGAUGCGGCCUUCCUCGCUUGCUCUUACCUAGACAUUUUUACCUCUGAUGAGAACUCGUCACUCUCAUUCGAGGAAAGCUGCUCCCUAGUAUUGAAUGAGAUGAGUUGUGCCCCUGUUGACAGCCCUGCUCAAGCAGACCCUCCAUGCCCUGAGAACACCAUGACUCCCUACAAAGUCAACUGCCGGCUCUCUCUAUACCGUGAAUGCCUCAUAUGCGUUUUUAAGGAUGAUAAUAAAUGCUUGUUGUCCUAUGAGAGGUUCAGGUUCUCUCUUGAUGGUAAAGAGCCCUCAAGUAUAGUUGGUGACGAAACUAUGAUGAUCACUGAAGUACCAGAAUCCUAUGAAGACGAGAUCGCACGGCUUAAGGCCACAUUAAGGCAAAUAUAAGCUGAGAUGAGAUCAAGGGAUGAAAUCAUAAAAAUCUUGCGUCAAGAGCUAUCGACAUCACGUAGACUUGAGCGUAUCCCCUCUGAGCACCAAUCCCUCUUUACUAUCCCUCAAGCACCGCGUCUGGUCAUUGAAAUAAGGUCAUCGAGAGAAGAGAUAGUCCAGCCCUCGCCUCCCUCAUUGACAAAGCCUGGUAGCCAAAGCAUAAAAAUAUGCGAUCUCUCAGUGACAGAGAAGGUGAAUCAUUACCAGAAGCCUCACCCAGCUUAUGAUCAAACUUUAUUGCCACAAGGAGGCCAAAGACUCGACUUCCCCAAGUACAAUGCCAUGCACUCCGCAAGACAAAGCUGACACAAGGGACAUAUGCAUAAUCCCCAAGAUUCUUGAAACUCUCUCAUCUAAGGGGAUGAUCAAUCUACCUAAGGUAAACAGACGAAUAUGGUGAAACCAGAAAGGGCACCAUGGGUAAAAGUGUCAAAGAAAAGAAGAAAAAGAAACAAAAGAAAAAUGACGGGGCAUGGUAGCAUCACCAACUAUCGUGGGAAAAAUUCGUCAAAUAAAAAUCCGAAAGGGACUCACGUGCCACAAAACGUUUUUAGGGUCCUGUGAAACCUAAAAAUGGCACAUGUCCGAAGGGCUUAAACGAAAAUCCAACAGGGCAUUUGAGUAAAAACGAUACGUGUGGGAACACACGUAGCACUUAAUGGUUCGCAACUACUGAAGGGUAAUGCUACCUCACUGCCGUGUGCACAUUCUUACCAGCACGAUUGUCCAUACUGCCAUGCGUGUCUCUUAAGAUAACGCCACUGUGUACGUUGUGUUGAAGGCCCACCGCGUGCUUCUUUCUGUCCAGAUCGUCGAGCGCAUGCCACCGAGCCGGUCUCCCCUCGCUUACUGCUGAGCGUGCCACUCACCCAUGCUGCCAAGCGUGUUCCCUCUACAAAGUGUUGUCCUACGCAUUCUGCCGUCACGUGCGUUUCGACCCCCAGUCUGUUGUGCAAAAAUACUAUCAUUGAGCUCGCUUUUGCCGCAUGACUGUUGUCGUGAGCCUUGCGUUUUGCCACCUUAUGCGCACCUCAAAGUCCACUAUUGUGCAUAAGUCCCUAAGAUGAUGGCCAUGCAUGCCUUGUUGCAUGCGCUUCCAUGCAUGCCUUCCCUAGCCGGCCUAUUCGUUUGCGCAUCGGUAAGGUCCGACCCUCACCACCUCUCCAUCCCCAUGGAAGUCACAUUCAUGCCCUAAUCUCUUAUCCCCAGGGAAUCACACCCACUUCCUAAUCCUCAGUAAGUCCGCUUCCGCCUACCAUCCCUAACUAAGCCACCAUCACCAUCUGAAGCCACUGCCCAUAAAUCGUCUCGGCCAUUUCAUCACCAGUGAGUCAGACUACCAUCCACAAGCCCAUUCCCCAUGGAACCUCAUCCACUUCACAUAUCUUAGUGAGUCCACCCCUUAUUGGCAACCCACAUACAUGGUGACUCAUCACGGUCCAGCUGUAUGAUCAUAAACUAUAGCGCACAUCCUGACCGCGUGACGUUUAACUACUUCACAUAACAAUCCAGCUGUGUGACCCUAAACUAUAAUGCUCGUCUUGAUAGCAUGACAUUAAACUAUUUCGCACAACGGUCUAGCUGUAUGACCAUAAACUAUAGUGCACGUUCUGGCCGCAUGACAUUAAACUGCUUCGCAUAAUGAUCCAGUUACAUGACCCUAAACUGUAGCGCUCUUCCUAGCUGCAUGAUGUUAAACUACUUCGUACAAUGGUCUAGCUGUAUGAUCCUAAAUUAUAGUGCACGUCCUGGCCACAUGACGUUAAACUGCUUCGUAUAACGGUCCAAUUGUAUGACCCUCAACGGUCUAGCUGUAUAACAGUAAAUUAUAGUGCACGUCCUGACCUCAUGACGUUAAACUUCUUUGUACAACGGUCCAGCUGUAUGACCCUAAACUAUAUUGCACAUCCUGACCGCAUGACAUUAAACUGUUUUUCACAAUGGUCCAACUGUAUGACCAUAAACUAUAGUGCACAUCCUGGCCACAUGAAGUUUAACUACUUUGCUCAGGUCCUGGAGGCAUGACCUUAAACACACCUCCAUGCAUAUUUUUACGACAUUCAUUUCCUUCUCAGUGAGUCCAUUUCCAUUACCCUUUAUGAACUCGUCAUAUUCCCCAGUGGGUCGAACCCACUCUCACAAAACCACGAUGAGCCAUUCCAUCAUCCAUACUCACCGACAGCUAUUGGGUUACCCCUUGUCCACCUUCCAUAAAAACACAAUGCAUCAUUCACAGAUAGUCUCGUGCCAUCUCCCCCAAGUGAGUCAAACCUCCACCAUACUCACCCUAUGGCCUCCACAGACUGUCAUCCAUCGCCAUCAUGGUCUAGUUGUAUGACCUUAAACUAUAGUGCAUGUCCUGGCCGCAUGACUUUAAACUGCUUUGCCCAAGUCCCAGAGUCAGGACCUUAAACACGCCUCACAAAAAAAAGAAAAAAUGGGCAUGGUGUAAACCCGAAAGGGGAACGUCAUGAGUAAAAAUGACGAAUCGGCAUAGUCACGAAACCAUGAGUGAGAGAUUUUCGUAAAUAAAAACCUGGCACAGUGAAACCUGGUGUAGACUGGUGUAACAGCAAACAAUGUCACAAAACGUUCGACGAGGGUGAAGAGUCUAAAAGCAUCUUGUACGUCCAAUGGGGUGUAGACUCUAAAAUCAUCCCUAAAGUCUCCACGACUAGGUCUACAACAAGGUCCCCAGCCAUCUGAGCGGCUUGGUCACCCCUCCGGGAAGUAACUGCACAAGUAUCCCUUUUACGUUCGUGUGAUCCAGUGUCCAAGAAGAAAACUAAAGUCGAAGGAACAAUUUUGUUUCCGAAUGUUAUACUUCUCGCUUCUCUUAAAGCACAACAUUUGGAGGGGCAAUCUGUUUGAGGUCAUUUUCCAUCACUUAUAUCCCCGGUGCGAAUAAGGAGAGAGCAGUUUGCGACCUAGGUUCGCAGUUACCAAAAUGCCUGUGGACUACAGAAGCUGUAGGACAAUAAGCCCUGAUUCAGAAGUGGAAUUUUCGUCAGUCUCAAAAUGGCCCAACAACAUGUAAGAAUGUGGCUAAGGUUCUCCUAAGAACACCUGCCAAGUUUCGUGGCAAUCCGAUAAUUUUAAAGAAGUGUAGACGACAAAACAGUUUCGAGAAAUCUUGCCUUUAUCAUGCUGAAAAUGGGUUUUAAACUACAUCACCAUUAUCAGAGCAUCACAUGUUCUCUAGAACAUUACCAUUGGAUCCAGAAUGGUCAAAAGCCUCCAGGCAUCAAUUUUCGACGCGUUUGGACGCUUCUAAAGCAAGUUACGUCUAAAUUACCCAAAAUAGGUAGGUUGUACACUAUUAUGGUACGCCCUCCGUCAACCAGUUUCCAUUAAUGGAAACUGUGCAUCACCAAUUCGAGGGCAAACUUCACAAGGUCAUAUUUUCUUCAUCCCUAGUCAGCUUGAGCACAAAUUUUGAGAGCACGUUCGUCUCGUCCACCCGGUCGAUUUGAUAUGUGGCACGCACAGUGACAUGGCCAGAUCCGGGAGAAAUCGAAGAGAGAUGUUCUUUGGAAAAACCCAAAAUUUGCAGGGAAAUUCCAGCCAUGCCUCUCUUCUAUCAAACUCCCACAUCACAGUGCUCGAACUUCGGAUCGGCCCCGAUCUAGACCCAUUAUGAGCAUGAGGACAUAAGCUUCAUCUGAGCCUAACCUCACGUGUGACGGAUGGUCAGAUUCGACGCAUGAUGAGUCCGAAGUUGCUGCAAUUCCAGCCACCGGAAUCCAAACUCCAGUCAAAGUUUCCCAAUUUAGAAAAUGGUCAUCCGGGCAUCAAAUCGAGCCAUUAUUUUUGUAGAACAAUCGUGGAAACUUGCUCGUUAUGCUUUAAUGAAGAAAUCAGUGAAAUACACUGAGAAACGGGUUGAUUCUUAAAAUUAUGAUUGCACAUUUUUCUAUGUUUUUUCCAUGUCAUGAUUAUAGUUCAAAACUCAAAUCCAUGGCCCGAAAUUAGUACCAAAAUGAUCGUCUUCUUGAGAUCAUCAAGAAAAAGUAAUCUUUCAAUUAGAUGGUGACCAGAAAAACCCCGAAUCAACCACAAAAAGUCUGCAGGAUUGAACGACCAUUACAAGGACUGAUUUGGAAUUAUUUAUAUUGUUAGUGCAGGGGCAAAAUUGCAAUUUUGCCCCAUUUUCUUAGAUUUUCUUUAAUUAUUUUAAUGCCUAAUUUUUAACAAUUAGGUCACAAAUUGAUUGUACACCCAUGUUUGGGUCCCACUUCUAUGUAAGCAACAUACCAUCUACAUGUAAAGGGCCCUUCUUUUAUCAAUAAAAAAAAUCCUUUCUUGCACGAGUGUUAGGACACGAAAGGAGAGAGAAAUUUGCACGGACACCCCUAGGUAACUUUCUCUCUCCUCUCUCUCCUUCUCCCUUCUCUCUCUUCUCUUUCUCUCUCCCCUCUCUCCUUCUCCCUUCUCUCUCUUCUAUUUCUCUCUCUCUCCUUCUCCCUUCUCUCUCUUCUUCUCUCUUUUCUUUCUCUCUGUCCUUUUAGUUUUUCUCUUCUCUCUAUUAUCUUUCUCUCUCUUCUCUCUCCUUCUCCCUUCUCUCUAUUCUCUUUCUCUGUCUUCGUUCUCCUUCUCCCUUCUCUCUAUUCUCUUUCUCUCUCUUUUCUCUCUCUAUUCUCUCUCUUUUCUUUUCUUCUUUUAUCUCCCUCUCUUCUUUCUCACUCUUCUUUUCUUUCUCUCUUCUCUUUUUUCCUUUCUCUCCUCUCUUCUUUCCCUUCUCUCCAUCUUUCCUUUCUCUCACAUCUUCUUUCUCCUUCUUUUUGUUCUCUUUCUUUCUCUCUCUCUUCAUAGGGGCAGCAACGUGGGCCUACCCUUUUUGGCGGGCAUCGAUGCAACCUCUGUGUUCUCUCUUCUUCUUUGUAUUCUCUCUCUUCUUCUCUCUUCUCGCUUUCUCUCUCUUCUCUUUCUCUCUCUUCUCUUCUCUCUUUCUUUCUCUUCUCUUCCUCUCUCUUCUCUCUCUAUUCCCUUUCUGUCUCUCCUCUAUCUCUUCUUUCUCUCUUCUUUCCUCCCUUCUUUCUUUUCUUUCUCAUCUCUUCUUUCCUCUCUCUUUUUAUUCCCUUUCUCUCCCUUCUUCUUUCUCUUUCUUUCUGCUCUCUUUCUUUCUCUCUCUCUUCACAAGGAAACCAAUGUGGGCCUAUCCUUUUUGACGAGCCUUGAUGCAGCCUCUGUAUUUUCUCUCUCGAUCUCUCUCCUUUCUCAGGGAUAGCAACGUGGGCCUACCCUUUUUGGCAGGCCUCAUUGUGGUCUUUGUGUUUCUUCUCUCUCUUCUUUUUUUCUUCUUUCUUCUCUGUCUCUCUUUCUCUCUCUUUUCUAUGACAGAUGGUAGCAUUAGUUGCCGCCUAUGUUGAUUCUCUCUCUUCCCCUUGUUUGACACAAACAGUAGUAUAAGGCGCCGUCUGUGUGUCCUCUCUCUUCACAGACGGCAGCAAGCCGCCGUCUGUGUUCUACCUUUCUCUCUUUUCACAGACGGCAGUAAGCCACUAUUUGUGCUCACUCACCUUCUCUCUCUUCAUAGGCGAUAGCAAGCCGUUGUCCGUGUUCCUUCUCCCUCUCUCUUCAAAGACGACAGCAAGCCGCUGUUUGUGUUUUCUCUCUCCCUCAUUUCUUUCUUUAGAGACAGUAGUAAGCCGCCAUCUGUGUUCCUUCUCUCUCUCUCUUCACAAACGGUUGCAAGCUACUGUUUGUAUUUUCUCUCUCUCCUUUCUUUCGUCACAGACGGCAGCAAGCUGUUGUCUAUGUCUCCUCUCUCUCCUUAUUCUUCAGAGAUGACAGCAUGCCGCUCUUUGUGUUCUACAAUCCUCUCUCUCUUCACAGACAGUAGUAAGCCACUGUAUGUGCUCAUCACCUUUCUCUCUCUCUCUUCAUAGACGGUAAUAAGCCAUCGUCUAUGGUCUCUCUCUCUUCUCUCUUCAAUGAUGGCAGCAAGCCGCCAUUUGUGUCUUUCCUUCCUUUUUUUCUCUCUCUAUCUCCUUCUCUUUCUUUCUCUUCCUUCUAAUGUCUUUUCUCUAUCUAACCCUUUUUCUCUCCCCCUUUACUUUAAAAUUUGUACUAAGAGUCCCUUGUCAAGGAGACACUGUAAGGCUGUCAAAUCAGCAUGGACUCCAUCAUGAUAUUUUUCCAUUUUCUUUUGAGUACGCAUGCAUGUGUGCGCUCACCCCUAUGAUAAGGUGGGUUCUUUAGAACCACUUGUCUUGUAUUCUAAUAUGCGUGUGACUAUAGGAAAAGAAGAAAUACGUAAAAGGAGAUGAUUUUGAACUGGCCACAAACCUAGGGGGCAAUCCCACCUCACACCUUAAUUCCUCUCUCACCGGUUGGUAUUCGUGCCUGUGUCUUUCUCACACGAUUCACAAGAGAGCGGUCUCAGGUCCUGGGUCUAUCUCGAACCCGUAACCAUGCCACCAGGUCAUUCCGACCUGAGGGUGAGAUCUAGGCACUUAACCAGUAGCGCCUUCCAGUGCAUGAGAUGCACUAUGAAAGAAGAGAGCUUCUUAUGGAGAGAAACACUAUGAUUGUUCCUCAUGUAGAUUGAGAGAUGCUGGUUUAUUGUAGAGAAGCAGUUCCCAUGGAGAUUUUGGGUGGUUUUUCCUUUUAAUUAACUUGUGGACUCCUGAAGAUUGAGAUAUUGGUUUCUUAUAAGGAAGCAGUUCCCACAGAGAUUUCUUAUUGACUCCUAAAGAUUGAAAGGUUGGUUUAUUGUAGAGAAGCAGUUCCCAUGGAGAUUUUGAGUGGUUUUCUCUUUUUGUUAGAUAAAAUUCAGUUGCUUUAAAAGUUAUCUUUCUAGACAGUGGUCUAGUUAGGGUAUCUUCCUAGACAAUGGUUUAGUUAUGGAAUAGAGAUGAGAGAUCAGCUAUGGUGUCAUUUAGGAUAGCAGGUUUUGCUCUACUAAGUUUUGUCUAGUUGAGGGUUAGAGAGGUAACUAUGGUCCAAAAUCUUUGAUGUACCUUUCAUUAGUAUAAUGGAUUUCAUUUUGUCGUUGCUCGUGGAUGUAGCCCUUCUAGGGUGAACCACAUAAAUCUUUGUAUUCUUGUAGCAGGCAUUUCAUUGUAUAAUUCUUGUAAUUGAAUUGCCAAAAAAUUAACCCAUCGGGUUUAGAGCUUCUGCACACAACAAUUUCCAUAUCUAUUGUUAUCUCAACAUCGUUUCCAUAUCUUAAUUAGGGAGGCACAAGAGAGAAAUAUUUUCAUAUCCUCCGUCUCUUCCUAUUUUUUUAAAACCUCAUAAAGUUUGAUCCCACCUUUUCCUAAAAGUUGUGCAUGUAAGUCAUCCCCCAAAAAAAAAUUUCCCUUAUUUUUUUGGUUCAAACCUCCUAAAAUGGAUACCUAUCCCCAAUUCAACCCUUGUUGUGCCCAACUAAUCACGAGAAAGAGAAGUACCGACAAUUUAAAAUUUGAUAAAUAAAAAAAAGUAAUUUAUUUAGUUUUAAUAAUAUAUAGGAGAAAUAAAAAUUAAUCUAUCUUAUUAUAGUAAGCAUAUAUAGGAGAAAUAAAAAUUAACAUAUCUCAUUAUAUAAUAAUAUAUGGACCCGGUUUUUAUGCGGACAAGCCCUCAUAUGUAGAAAUGUGGGCAUAUUAAUAAAUAUGUUUUUGAGAUGGAUUUUUGGACUUAAUUUUUUAACGAGAUGUAAUCUCUAACAUAGAUAUAAUGAAUAUAAACUAAUAAUUAAAUUUAAAAAACUAGAAAAAAUAAUUCUAAUAAGAGAACAUUUGGACCAUUGGUUUCCAUUGUUUUUAAAUGGCACACCUACUUGCAUCCAUAUUAAGCUUUACACUUUUUGGACUGCAUAUGUAGUCAUGCGUUCUAAUCGGCAUGAAACAAUUUUUCAUAAUAUAUAUAGGAGAAAUAAAAUUCAAGAGAGAGAAAGAUAUGUUAUCAUAUCAAAAAUUAUGUUUUCAUAUCUUAAUGAGAGAGAGAGAUAUUUCCAUAUCGAUGAUUAACUUUCUAUAUUUUAAAUUGAGAGAGAGAGAGAUCAACAUUCUUCUAUGUGUUAAUGAGAUUUCCUUAUCCAUCAUUAUUCAACAUUGUUCUUCCUAUUUUUUAAAAACCUUUUAAAGUUGGCAACAAUUAGAUCUUGCUUCUUCUUGUCCUUUUCUUCUUUUUUUUUUUUUGGUCCUACCCUUUCUUAAAAAUUGUGCAUGCAAGUCAUCCCUAAUAUUUUUUCCCCCUAUUUUUUUGUUCAAACCUCCUAAAAUAAGUACAUAUCCCCAAUUCAACCACUAUUGUGCUCAACUAAUCAAUCUAAAAUUUAAGAACUAUGAAAAUUUGACAUAUUNNNNNNNNNNNNNNNNNNNNNNNNNNNNNNNNNNNNNNNNNNNNNNNNNNNNNNNNNNNNNNNNNNNNNNNNNNNNNNNNNNNNNNNNNNNNNNNNNNNNNNNNNNNNNNNNNNNNNNNNNNNNNNNNNNNNNNNNNNNNNNNNNNNNNNNNNNNNNNNNNNNNNNNGAUAAUGGAUGCAAUAUGCACUAAUUUUUGGACUCAAAAUAUUUUUUUUUACACAUUCAUACAUCUCGAUGUCGAGAUGAUCAAUUAGAAGGUCUUUCAACAUUAAAACAACCUUUUUCGAUGGAUUUUUGAGGUGCAUUUGUACUUCUACAUUUUAAUGUUGCAACCUUAUAUAAACUUUUCCCUUUUGUAAAACCUCUUAAAGUUGGUAACAAUUAGAUCAUGCAUCCCACCAUUUCCUAAAAGUUGUGCAUGCAAGUCAUCCACAACGUGAGAGAGAUCAAGAGAGAGAGAAAGAGGGAGAUCAACAUCAACAUUCUUUCUAUAUCUUAAUAAUAUUUCCAUAUCCAUCAUUAUCUUAACAUUAUAUUUUUAUCUUAAUUAGGGAGGCCCAAGAGAGAAAGAUUUCCAUAUCCUCCUCAUCUUAAUAUUAUUUCUAUAAUUUAAUUAACGAUGCAUAAGAGAAACAUUUCCAUAACAUCCUUAUCUCAACAUUGUUUCUUCCGGUGUUUUUAAAACCUCUUAAAGUUGCUAAGAAUUAGAUCAUGCAUUCCACCAUUUCCUAAAAGUUGUUCAGUCAUCUCUGAUUUUUCCCCCUAAUUUAUGGUUCAAACCUCCUAAAGUGGGUACCUAUUCCCAACUAAACCCCCAUUGGGCCCAACUAAUAGAGAGAGAGAACCAACAAUCUUNNNNNNNNNNNNNNNNNNNNNNNNNNNNNNNNNNNNNNNNNNNNNNNNNNNNNNNNNNNNNNNNNNNNNNNNNNNNNNNNNNNNNNNNNNNNNNNNNNNNNNNNNNNNNNNNNNNNNNNNNNNNNNNNNNNNNNNNNNNNNNNNNNNNNNNNNNNNNNNNNNNNNNNNNNNNNNNNNNNNNNNNNNNNNNNNNNNNNNNNNNNNNNNNNNNNNNNNNNNNNNNNNNNNNNNNNNNNNNNNNNNNNNNNNNNNNNNNNNNNNNNNNNNNNNNNNNNNNNNNNNNNNNNNNNNNNNNNNNNNNNNNNNNNNNNNNNNNNNNNNNNAAUAAAAAGUGAUUUCGCCUACCUUCAUCGCCUACCUUAAUUUUUAUAAAUUAUUGUUUUAUAUUUUAUUAUUUUGUUUAUUAUUAUAAAGGUUUUUGGGAAAUCUAAAAAAAUAAAUUUCAAGAAAAAUUGAGCUCAUUAGACUUGUUUCUCAUUCUUCUAUCAGCUUCAAUACUGAGGUGCAUUGGAAGAUUCAAUAUAGUUAUCCCUUGUGUAGAGUGGUUCAAAGCAAUUACAACAGACUUCCAAGAUAGAGGAGACUGUUUAGGACAAUAGACACUUGCAUGCGAUCAGGGACUGUAUUCCCGGCCGUAAUAAGGUCCUUUGCGAACACUACCAUUUUAUUGACAUGCUUGGUCACUGAGUCUGAUUCUUUUAUUCUACAAUAAUUGUCUUUUUCUAACAACAAUUUCAUAUGGGUCUCAGAAGUGGUCCCAUACUUUUAAGAUAGGACAGCCAUCAUACUUUGAGAUGUAGUGUGAUCCUCAAAACUCUAAUUAAAUCAUUUUUCAUAAAGCUUAAAGUAGUAGUCCUAGCUAUUUUAUCAUCUUCUAACUAUUUGUCAAGUCGUAUUUUGGCUUGACCAUUGACAUUAGACUCUAAAACUGGUGAUUGACAUAAUCUACUCCAUCUUGAAAAAAAAUAUAUCCAAAUUUAUUUUUCUAUUUAAAAAAAUGGGAAAGCUGUCUAUACUCAUCUACGUCAUUGAACUUUUAUUCUCCCCGACCUUUUUAACCAUUGGCUUAAAAUUGAACGUUUACACGCGUUCCCUCAAAUUGUCACAAAAUGAGGGCACAUUAUCAACCGGUAACCCAUAUGAAAUAAGUCCAUACUAGGGAUAAGAGUACCCAAUUUUUAAGGAGAGAGAGAAAGCACGGGAGAAGAUGGGGACAGAGGGUGUUUUUGAGGAGAGAGAGAGCACGCAGAUUAGAGGGAGAGAGGGCCUCUUGGAGGGAGAGAGAGCAAACUGGUUGUCUACAUCGAUGACUCUACAACUAAUUUGUUUGCUUCCAUUACUAAAACCCACCUCCAAAAAGCUGUUAUCUCCAUUACCCAUUCUCCAUUAGUAGCACCCCAUGACCUCAUUUUCUCUCUCUUGAAGAAAUGCGUGAAAGCACCCCAACUGAAACAGAUACACGCCAUCAUGUUCAAAAUUUCUCUUUCUCACGAUUCUUUUGCAGUAAACCAAUUCGUCUCUGCCUGCUCGAGCACAGGCUCAAUGGACUAUGCAAUUUCCGUGUUUGCCCAUUUGCAAAAGGCCAACAUAUUUGUUUGGAACUCCAUGAUCAAAGGCUUUGUGCAUUGGCAUUCUUAUCAAAAGGCCAUUUCCAUGUACAAGAAGCUCUUGGUUUCCCCUGUUUCAGCAACCAGUUACACUUUCUCUUCUGUGAUCAAUGCUGGCACCCAAGUAUUGGGCUUGAGCGUAGGAGAAUCCAUUCAUGGCCAAGCUUUGAAAUGGGUUUUGAAUUCUCAGGUCUUUGUUGGAACUGCGCUGAUCGAUUUGUACUCAAAUCGUCGUGAGAUUUGAAAUGAUCGUAAGGUGUUUGAUGAAAUGGAGUCUAGGGACGCAGUCACUUUUACCAUGAUGAUUUCAGGUCAUUGCAAGAUUGGUGAACUGAGUUUUGCUCAAGAACUCUUUGAUGCCAUGCCUGAGAAAAACACAGCUUCAUAGAAUGCUUUGAUUGAUGCUUACUCAAAGGGUGGUGAUAUAGAAAAAGCGGCUUCACUCUUUGAUGAAAUGAGUCAUAAGGAUUUGGUUUCUUGGACCACCAUGAUCUCGAGAUUUUCAAAAUAUGGAAGGUUUAAAGAGGCUAUAGCUGUAUUCCAAGAGAUGGAGGCCCAAGCUGUGAGCCCUGAUUCAGUAACCAUGGCUACAGUAAUCUCAGAUUGCGCACACCUAGGGGGCCUUGAUUUAGGGAAAGAGAGACAUAACUAUGUUAGCUGAAAUGGUUUCAAUCUUGAUGUCUUUAUAGGAUCCUCUUUGAUCCAUAUGUAUGCAAAGUGUGGGAGCUUAGAGAGAUCCCUUCUGGUUUUCUACAAGCUCCAUGAGAAGAACCUCUUUUGUUGGAACUCAAUGGUCGAGGGGCUCGCCAUGCAUGGACAUGACAUGCAAGCCAUCAAGCUCUUUGAAAAGAUGGAAAGAUCAGGAGUUAAACUAAAUGGGGUGACCUUUGUUGGGGUUCUCAGUGCUUGUGCCCAUAUAGGUCUUGUCGAAAUAGGCCGAAGAUACUUCUAUGGGAUGACUCAUGAGCAUGGCAUUAUGCCAUGGAUUGAGCACUAUGGCUGUAUGGUCGAUCCUUUAGGGCGAGCAGGUCACUUAGAGUAGGCAGUAAGGCUCAUGGAAAGCAUGGAAAUGGAGCCUAAUGCAGUGAUAUGGGGUGCUCUUUUAGGGGGUUCUAAGAUUCAUGGCAAUGUCGGUUUGGCUGAAAUUGCAGUCAAUAAUUUAUUAGAGUUAGAGCCUGGUAAUAGUGGGUAUUAUAUGUUAUUGGCAAAUAUUUAUGCAGAGGAGAAUAGGUCGGAUGAGGUUGCGAGAAAAAGGGAGAGAAUGGAUUCAACUGAAAUAAUGAGAGAUAAUAGUAUGACCUUCAGGAGUGUAUUCAGAGCCUUGGAGACUUCUGAAGAGGAUAGACAUUGCAUGUGGAAGGAGAUUCAGCAAGUGGCAUUAAGUGGUGCAAAGAACUUUGGGAGACACCAUGGUAUUGGAGGUUAAUCAUGGAUAAACAAGCUAAUCUACCUCAAAAAGGCAGUUUCUUUUCGAGCACAUAACAACAAAAAUGAAGAAGCUGGGCUAAUUAAGAAAAAUAGCAGCGAAAAGGAGGGAGACCAUAAUAUUGAGGGAAAUAUAUAAGAGCAAGGAGACUCAUAUUGAGCUCUUCUUUGCUCAGUGCUCAAUUCACUGCCUAAUCACAUGCUGGGCCUUUACUUUGUAAAUUGCAUAUACCCAAGCCUCAGAUUUAUCUCUCAUUAUCAACAAUAUUAUUUAUUACAAAGGAAAAAUGUUACUUCUUUAGCUUCCUUUCAUAAAUCCAAAUGCUGUUUUAUUACAAAGAACAUUCUCAGGCCUAAGAAUUGUAUCUCAUUGUCUGCAAUGUUAGUCUUUUUCACUUUCUUGUGAUCAUAAUACAACAAUAAUGUUUUUUUUACUUUUAAUCUCUUGAAACACCAGGGCGCAAGCACCAAGGGUGAAGGGGAAGGGUGUACUUAGGUAGGGGCUUUUUACAUAUUUGUAAUUUAAAGUCUUGUAGUUGGAUAUGCACAAACUCAAUUUUGCAGGCAUAUUUUGAUAUAGUGCCUUGCCCUCUUACUCUAUGUACGUGCAACAUCUAUUUAAGACAGUAACCUUUCUCAAAUGAAUUCUAUUUCUUAUAUUUUGUCUUUUUCCUGGUGAAUUGGGAGUUGAGGCAAUGUCUUUUCUUGGUGAGUUCUAUUUAGGACAGGCCCCUAAAUACAUACUAAUUCUUUUUGUGGGAAUCAUGGAUUGCAAUUCAAGUUUUCAAACUGGGUUCCCAGGGAAUUUUCUUUCGAUUCAGGCUUGGUGUUUCCUUUUGAUUCAAGGAAUUUGGUCUACGCAGUGAAAAUGUUAAAAUGGACAAUCAGUGGUAGUUUUAAUUUCUUAUCAAGGUUCUAGAAGCAAAUUUGGGUAGUUUUCUGCGAGCAUGUAUGCUUCUACCUUGAUAUCAACUUCUUACCUAAUACUAUCUAGUGUAUGAAUUUGGGGGAAUUAGAAAUAGCAUUUUUAACUGACAUAAAUUAGAAACAAAGGCUAUCUCCACACCCAUACUAUCUAUUGUAUGAAUUUGGUGUACUAUUAUUUUAGUAUUAAAAUCUGUGGAGUACUAUUGGAAGCACAAACCAUCCAUAGAGUUUGUAGGGGGGAGAGAGAAAGAGAGUGAGAAACACGCACACACACCAAAGAGUGAUAAAGAGAGUAAGAUAGCUAGGUCAUGGGAUAGCGCCAAAGAUCUACAUAUUGUUUGCAACAUAUGGAAGCUUAACAAAAAAUUUAUUUACAACAUCAAUUUGCAAAAUGGAAAGCUAUACAAAAAUUCCAUUUGAAGCUAUCAACAUGUACUUUGAAACUAUACAAAAUUCUACUUGCAACAUGAAUUUGCAAUAUAUGGAAGCUAUACAAAAAUUCCAUUUCGAAGCUCCAUUCCAAGAUAAAGUCUUCUCCACUAGCAUUGGGGUUGCAAAAAAUUUCUAACAUGAUGAGCUUGAUUGUUGAGCAUUGAGGUUGCAAAAACUUUCUGAGAUGAUGAGCUUGAUUGUUGAGCAUUGGGGUCGCAAAAACUUUCUAAGAUGAUGAGCUUGAUUGUUGAGCAUUGGGCUUGCAAAAUAUUUCUAAGAUAAUGAGCUUGAGAGUUGACCAUUGGACUUAUACAUAAAACUACAAUCUUGUUCUUAAAGUUAUGGCCUCUGCUUUGACUUCUUGCAUUGUUAUCCAAAUUGAUAUAGUCAUCGAAAAUUUAAGAUAUACAUUAGUUCAAUAACCAAUUGAAAAUGAAAAGAACUAAGCAUUUAACAUGAGACACAUGUCAUUAUAUCCUAAUACAUUUAAUAUAUAGCAAUAAAUCGGUGCAAAUGUAUUAUCGAUAUACCAUAAAAAAAAACGAAUAAUGUACAUAGGGAAGUCUGCAUAUUGUUUCGCUCAGCUUCAGGCUCGAUUGUGGGAAAUGGACGCUUUAUAAGAAGUAGAUAAGCACUAAGGUUUGCAAUGGGUAGAAGGUAUGGCAUGACUAAGUGUUGCCAAGAUAAAUAUACUAACAAUAUGCACAGGUAGAAGAUAAAUAUUUGAAGGCCCAAUGGCUACCCGCCGUAUGUGCCAAAUACUAUGGCACUUGCAAUUACCCCAUGAACAACUUCUUCCGAGCACUGGGCAUGGAUCACCUCCGCUACGAGAUGAGCCGCUACUUGUAUGCUUCUUCGAGCCCUAAGCUGCGCAAAUUCUUCAAGAAAUCGUUGUCGGCACAGACGUGGAGCCAGAACACGACCUGGAUCGGCUGUGGCGGUGGCCACCGACCCCGAUGUGGUGCAGAAGCUCGGGCGGCGGGACAUCGUGUUUCCAUGGUGCGGCACGGUGACGUACCUGGAGUGGGUGGAGGACCUGAUGGAGUACCAGGUGGGGCCCAAGUCUUGCCCGGAUGACAAGGUGAAGGUGGAGUCAGGGUUCUUAGAUUUGUACAACUCCAAGGUGUCCGCCUGCAACUAUUGCUCCUACUCGGCCCGCGACUAGGUACAUGGCCUAGGAAAGCGUUAGAAAGGUUGUUAUAACGGUAACGAAUCGCGGCCUUAUGGUACGUCACGGUAAUAGGGUGUGAAAAAGGUUUUGAUAGAAAUAUUUGGUUAACAACGGCCGUUUUUGGUUUGCUCAAUGUGAUCUCUUAGGAAAACAAAUGGAGGAGCGCGUUGUUUUCUAUAAUAACCCUGUAGGCCGGUCCUGAGUGUACCGGGACUCGGACGAGUCUGUUAUGGGCGAGACUGAGUCUCCCCUAGUUGUGUGUUGAAUUCGGGGAUAUUAUAAUUUAUUUUAAAAUUCUGGAAUAUUAUAAAAAAUGUGAGAUUGAUCUUUUUUUUGUGUAUGAUUGGUAUGAUUUCGGCUAGGAAAAAGUUUAUAGAAGGAGGCUACCUUAUAAUGUAGAACUACGGAUGCCCUUCAAAAAUCCAUCGGAAAAGGUAGUUUUAAUGUUGAAAAACCCUUUGAUUGAUCAUCUCGACAUCGAGAUGUAUGAAUAUGAAAAAUAAAAAUAUUUUAAGUCUCAGAAAUAGUGCAUUUUAUAACAUAUUAUCUACAUCGUCUAUUUUCAAGAUUUUCAUAUGUUUAUAAAUCUACUUGAUUUUAACCAUUUUUUGAAAUUUAAAAUUUUAUAAUUAGAUAUAAAAAUAGAUUUUGAGAUAAUUCUAAGAACAUUUUAAAUCAAAAUUAUAUACUAUGAUAAAAUUUGAAGGUGCACCUUACCUCUACACCUACGGAUGCAUCUGUAUGCCAACUGCACCUUUUCGGCAAUGAUCGGUGAGUGUUUUGUUUUUGCCAUAAAUCUCUAUUUUUUUUACUUUUUUUUUUGGAUUUCUAAACUUAUUUUUUAAAAUACAUCUUUAAGUCUAUUUGGGCUCCUUAAGGUUUUUUGUUUGAUUUUGUUUUUAAUAUAUUUUCUAUUUUUUGGAGUUUUCUACAAUUUUUUGUUUCAAUUUAGUGAGGGCCCUAUGCGUGGACUCCACCGAGGUAGGCCAACAAGAGUACCUUGCCCGAGUCGAUUUUUUGUAUAGUGCUAGUCCGCUUAUCUGAAAUAUUUAAUAAAUUGAGAUACAUAUAUAAGUUGUUUCUUUAGUUUGGUAACAAGUAAAACAUUGGGGAUAUCUAAAUAACCAAGAGCGGUGGAAACAAUCACAGAUCCAAUGUGGGUUAUAAGUAAAGCAGUACCAUUUCCAGUGAAAACCAUGCAAAGACCGUGGUAAGGAAUCACAACUCAAAGUUGAGAGUUGUCAUAUGUCAUAUGAACAAUUGCACCAGAGUCCAUAACCCAUUAUUGAUCAGUUGGGGUAGUGAUCUAAAGGUUGUUAAAAUCAUGCACUAGCGCAUUGUGAGAUGAUGAAACAUUUUUUAUGUCCCAAAAGUUUUUAGCAAUAGACCCAUGUCGUCCACAAUACUACCAGGUUACACCACGUGCUAUACCCAUUCUUGGCUGAAGAGGUUGAUGGUUAGAUAGUUUGACUCCCAGAAUGCCUUGUUGAUUUUGGUUGCGAUCUCUACCUUCGUAACGGUCACAUCCUUGGCCAUAUCCUCCUCUAUGUCCUAGUGAUGUGUUCAUCAAGGCAUGAUGAUUACUCUCAAUGAUUGAUGAAGAUAUAAAUCGAGUUUCGUAUGUGAUAAGGGAAGAUCGAAGCUCUGAGAGGAACAUAAAUGGAGGUUUGGUCAAACGAGAAGUCUCAAAGGACAAACUUUAGACAAGGCCUUUGAGACUAUAGCGGACCAUAUCUUGAUCAGUCAUUGGACAACCAAUAGCUGUAAGAUGGUCACAUAUAGUUAUUCGGAUAUUCUGUCACUGAUUGAAGCCCUUUUUGUAAAUUGAUCAAUUAAGUUUUAAGUUGGAGAACAUUGGCAAAUGUUUCACUUUGAUAUGUAUUAUAAAGUGUCUCCCACACUUAUUGAGUUGCCUUUAGGUACAUGACUUCAGUAAGCAAGUCAUUAGAGAGUAUAGAGAGAAACCAGCUCAAUAACGUUUUAUCCUUCAUCUUCCCUUCUAGAAAUUUGGGGUUCUUUGAUAGUUUUGGGUUAGAGCCUGAACCAUCUUUUGGUUAAUUCAAGACUUGAGCCUUCCAUUUGUGACAGUUGUCUCUACUUAAUUUAAUAGAUAUAAAGAAUGGAAAAUAAAGGAUGGAAAAUUAAGUGAGGCCAUAAAUGAAAGGACAUGUUACUUGACUUAUUUAAUAGAUAUAAAGGAUGGAAAAUAAAGGAUGAAAAAUUAAGUGAGGCCAUAAAUGAAAGGACAUGUUACUUGACUUAAGGUUUUGAGAGACAACGGGGAGUAUUUCGGUAUCAUACUUUCUGAAGUUUAAGUAACAAGCUAAGACUUACUUCGGUUGAAUUGGUGCCAAAGUAAAAAACUGACCUUUCAAAAUCAACUUUUGUAAAAGAGGUAUCAGAAUCAACUUCGAUGAGAGGUGCUGAAGUUGACGAACCAGAACUUACUAUGGUAUGAGGGGUGCCGAAGUUGUCAAGCACAUAACAGAACCUACUUCGGUUGAAUUGGUAGCUAAGUUAAAUUUAAGAAUAGGGAGAACUGACGUUACCAGAAGAUUGACUUUAUAGCUUUUACAAGUGGGAGAGAAAGGAGAGAAAGUGACUUCCAAACAAAGAGAUAGAGAAUGACUUUUCAACAAAUCUCCAACAAAGGCAAAGCAAGAUAUAGAGAGAGAGUCCACUUAACAACUUUUACAAUAGAGAAGAGAGAGAAACUACAUAUUUUCUAAAAGAGAGAUAAAACCACUGUAUUCAAAACCACUUAAGAGGCAGGGACUCUACGAGAUAAUAGAUUUAGCAAUACAGAAGAGAAAGAUGGAGGAUGCACUAACAAAUGCAAAUGGUGCUGCUGAGAGUAGUGGGUGAUGAAGCCCAUUAGUGGCUCUGAUACCGUGUCAAACUUAUGAAGUGCUGCUGAGAGAAGUGGGUGAUGAAGCCCGUUAGUGGCUUUGAUACCAUGUCAAACUUAUGAAAUGUUGCUGAGAGAAGUGGGUGACGAAGCCUGUUAGUGGCUUUGAGACCGUGUCAAACUUAUGAAACCCUAGAGAGACAAAAAUGGAUAGAACACCUCUGUGUAUUUCGUUCAUACUAAUCUCAUAGUUUACAUAUACAAUAGACAGAAAUGCGUUUGAGAAUAAAAAAUAAAACAAUACCCUAUAUAAUAUCACUAAAAAUACAGUCACACAAUCUCUCUCUUAGCAAUAAGAACUUGGACCUAACCCAUCAAGUCCAAUAUUUGGAUAGGGCUCAUGUGGUGUCGACCUACCAUUGGGGUUGACCAUCAUCAAGGUCGACCCGAUCGUAUUGCCACCCCUAAAAGCACUAAGAGCUAGGACAACAGUGACCUUAAAAACAGGUCAUUGAUGAAUGAAUUGAUCGGAAGGCCAAGGUAAGAUACCAUGAAAACCUCUAAGUACUUUCCCAGUGUGGACAAUGGUACUAUUUUUCGGGUUCGGCCCACCUGAGCUCCAUGAAGUGUGUGUAUUUGUUGGGUUCGCCCCACAUGAGCUCCAUGAAGUUGUGUAUUUGUUGGGCUCGGCCCACAUGAGCUCCAUGAAGUCUGUGUAUUUGUCUGUUGCAAGUGUAUUUGCACUCGUGUAUGCCUUUAAACCUUGGUCAAAACCAUAGGAGAUUAGCAUGUGACGACUCUAAUGAAAGAGAUAGGUAUCCAGAUAAGUAUUUUAAGACCCAUUAAGUUCGGAAGAGUCAGUAUUUUAAGACCCAAUAAUGUCCAAUCCAGAUAAGUAUCCAGAUCACUGAUAUGGGUCAACCCUCUUUCAUUCUCUUUUCUUUUUCUUUUUCUUUCUUUAAACUUAUCUAAUAUUGUAUUUAGGCCUUCCCCCAAACAAAUCAAUUCCCCACUUAAUUACCUCCAUUUUAAUUUUUAUUUUAUUUCAUUUAUUUAUUAAUUUUUCUUGGGAUCACUGAUCGGAGAAUGAACCAGAACAUUGAUCAUCUAUGGUUGGAUGAUCUAUCACACCAAUAUGUUUUUUUUAAUGGUACGGUUUGUAUAGAGUUGAGGCUCUAAAUAAUCAAAGUAAAGCGCACCUUCAAAUGGUGUCGAGAAAUGUGGUUUCAAUACUGGAAAUCUUUGUGAUAACAUUAAAAAAUAUUUUCUUCUUUAAGCAUAAAAUUUAAAGCUUUAAAAAUAGUUUAGAUCGAGCGGAUGAAAUAUUGAAAAUUGAUGGUCAAAAAAUAUGUUACAAAAUACAUUAUUUUCAAAACUUGAAAUUCAUUUUUUGUCGAGAUGAUCAAUUUAAGGAUAUUUAAACAUCAAAAGAACCCGUUCUAUUCAAGUUUUUGAGGUGAGCUGUAUAUGCCUUUAAACCUAUGUCAAAACCAUAGAGAGGAGAUUAGCAUGUGACGACUCGAAUGAAACAGAUAAGUAUCCAGAUAAGUAUUUUAAGACCCAUUAAGUUAGGAAGAAUCAGUAUUUUAAGACCCCAUAAUUUCGGAAGAAUCAGUAUUUGAAGACCCAUUAACUUCCUAUCCAGAUCCGGAUCCAAAUCACAGUUAGGGAUCAACCCUCCUUCAUUGUCUUUUCUUUUUCUAUUUCUUUAAACUUGUCUGUACUUACGCCUCCCCCAAACAAAUCAAUUCCCCAUUUUAAAUUUUAUUUUAUUUCACUGAUCCGAGAACGAUCCAGAACAUUGAUCACCUAGGGUUGGAUGUCUAUACCACCACUAUUUUUUUUUUUUAAUCGUGCGGUUUGUAGAGAGUUGAGGCUCUAAAAAAUCAAAGUAAAGCGCACCUUCAAAUGGUAUUGAAAAAUGUGGUUUCAAUAUCAAAAAUCUUUGUGAUAGCUUCAAAAUAUGUUUUCAUCUUUAAUUACAAAAUUUAAAGCUUCAAAAAUAGUGUAUAUCCAACAGUUGAAAUAUUGAAAAUUGAUGGUAAAAAGUUGUAUUACAAGAUGCAUUAUUUUCAAAACUUGAAAUCCCUUUUUUUCUCAUGUCUAUGCAUCUUGAUGUCGAGAUGAUCAAUUUAAGGGCAUUUAGACAUCAAAACGACGUGUUCUAUUGAAAAUUUUGAGAUGGCCGCUAAUUUAAUUGUUUAGAACUCGGCUCUAUAUAAACUUUUUCCUUUUUUUAAACCCUCGGGAGAAUAAAAGUUGGAGAUUUGUGCACAUAUCAAAAUUUUCUUUCGUUUGGGCGAAGGACAGGAAUUCAGUAUUAUUGCAUCAUAUUUCAAAUUUCAAAAAUUUCUUGAAAUUUAACCAAAAUUCGGCCAAAUUGGAGACACUUCGAACAAAAUCCUCGUGAUACAUGUGGAUCACACUGUAGAUAGUACAUUAGCCCGUAGAAGCCCAUGUGAUACACGUUGACCACACCUACUAUAAAAUGCGAGCACUCCCAAGCCAUACCAUGAACUCAAGCUAAACCACAAAGAAACAGGAGAGAACCAGGAAUUUUGAAAGCUUCAGCUGGUUCUUUCACGGCAUCCUUGCUAAAAGCUCCCUCUCCUCUCUACCAUGAGCCAUCUCUCUCUCUCCAACGUACCACCACCUUCCAGCCUCUCCUCCCACCGAGAUCA